UGUUACAAAGUUGGCAUGGUAUCAUCAUAAUAGUUGCGGGACAAAGUCUUAACUUUUUCUUCGCUUGUGUCAUUUGCUUAUUGCACCGUAACCAUGGAUAAUCCUCAUUGUUUAUCAGGAUGCUUGGGUCAGCCUUGACAUUGAAGGGAGGAAUUUCAUGAAAUUUUCAUAAUCUUCAGACAUGUCUGUCUGGCCGUCCACUCCCAGGAUGUCCCUUUUUCCUGAAAGAACUAUGUGGCGCUUUGGCUCAUUGUAUGAUGUAUUUGCUUCCUUAUCUUUUCUUUUUCUCGGUUUGGUAGACAUGUCCUUCACAUAGACAACCUGUGCCACAUCAUUGGCUAGGACGAACGGUUCGUCAGUGUACCCAAGAUUUUUCAGAUCCACUGUUGUCAUUCCGUACUGUGGGUCUACCUAUACCCCGCCGCCUAACAGAUUGACCCAUUUGCACUUAAACAAAGGGACCUUAAAAUCAGGUCUGUAGUCAAGUUCCCAUAUGUCCGCUAUGUAACCAUAAUAUGUGUCCUUUCCGCUCUCGGUUGCUGCAUCAAAGCAGACACCGCUGUUUUGGUUGGUGCUCUUUUGAUCUUGGGCGAUCGUGUAAAAUGUAUUCCCAUUUAUCUCGUAUCCUUUGUAAGUCAAUACAGUCAAAGAUGGUCCCCUGGACAACAAGUACAACUCAUCACAAACAGUGUUUGUCACCUCUGAGACAUGUUUCUAACCAACUGCUGAAAGUCCUGAUGUGUUCACAUGUAAUCCAGUCGUCGCACUGCUCCGGGUGUUUGGAGCGCAGAACGUUCUUGUGUUCAUCGACAUACGAGGUCACCAAGGUAGAGUUCUAUAGAACUGUGUAGUUUGCUUGAGACCAAGAAUAUCCAUCCCUGCAUAUUAUUGAGUCUCUUCCAAGAGUGCCUUUUCCAGUCAGUCUCCCCUCAUACCGCGAUUUAGGGAGACCUAUCUUCUUAAGGCCAGGAAUGAAGUCAACACAAAACCCGAUAACAUCCUCUGUUUGAUGGCCCAUGGAGAUGCUUCCUUCUGGCCUAGCGCGGUUACGGACAUAUUUCUUUAGGACUCCAAUGAACCUCUCAAAGGGGAACAUAUUGUGUAGAAAUACGGGCCCCAGGAUGACAAUCUCGUCGACUAGAUGAACUAGGACGUGCGUCAUGAUAUUGAAGAAGGAUGGUGGGAACACCAGCUCGAAACUGACAAGACAUUGCGCCACAUCACUCCUUAGCCUUGGUACGAUUUCUGGAUCGAUCACCUUCUGAGAGAUUGCAUUGAGGAAUGCACAUAGCUUCACAAUGGCUAAUCGGACGUUUUUCGGUAGAAGCCCCCUCAAUGCAACUGGAAGCAGUUGCGUCAUAAUCACGUGGCAGUCAUGAGACUUUAGGUUCUGAAACUUUUUCUCUGGCAUAUUUAUUAUUCCCUUUUUAUUCGAUGAGAAGCCAGUCGUGACCUUCAUACUGAGCAGGCAUUCAAAGAAGAUUUCUUUCUCUUCUUUCGUAAUAGCGUAGCUGGCAGGACCUUUAUACUACUUCAGAGGCAUGCCGCCUUUUUCGUGCAAACGUUGCAGGUCCUCCCGUGCCUCAGGUGUAUCUUUUGUCUUCCCAUACACGCCCAAGAAGCCUAGCAGGUUCACGCAAAGGUUCUUCGUCACGUGCAUCACGUCGAUUGAGGAGCGGACCUCUAGGUCUUUCCAGUAGGGUAGGUCCCAAAAUAUAGAUUUCUUCUUCCACAUGGGUGCGUGUCCCUCAGCAUCAUUCGGAAUAGCUAGUCCACCGGGACCCUUUCCAAAGAUCACGUAGUGUAAAUCAUUGACCAUAGCAAGCACGUGAUCACCGGUGCGCAUGGCGGGCUUCUUCCGGUGAUCUGCCUCGCCUUUGAAAUGCUUGCCUUUCUUUCGACAUUGAUGGUUGGUCGGAAGAAAUCGACGAUGGCCCAGGUACACAUUCUUCCUGCAUUUGUCCAGGUAUAUACUUUCAGUGUCAUCUAAACAGUGCGUGCAUGCGUGGUAUCCUUUGUUUAUCUGUCCUGAAAGGUUACUGAGAGCGGGCCAAUCGUUGAUGGUCACGAACAACAACGCCUUAAGGUUAAAUUCAUCCUGUCUGUGCUCAUCCCACGUACGUACACCGUUUCCAUUCCACAGCUGUAAAAGUUCUUCAACUAAUGGCCUUAGGUACACAUCAAUUUCGUUGCCGGGUUGCUUAGGGCCUUGGAUGUGAACUGGCAUCAUAAUGAACUUUCGCUUCAUGCACAUCCAAGGAGGAAGGUUAUACAUACAUAGAGUCACGGGCCAGGUGCUGUGAUUGCUGCUUUGCUCCCCGAAAGGAUUAAUGCCAUCCGCGCUUAAAGCAAACCAUACAUUCCUUGGGUCCUUUGCAAACUCAUCCCAGUACUUUCUCUUGAUUUUUCUCCACUGCGACCCGUCAGCGGGUGCUCUCAACUUCCCAUCUUUCUUUCGGUUCUCACUAUGCCAUCGCAUCAACUUGGCAUGCUCUCCGUUUCUGAACAGAUGUUUCAACCGUGGUAUUAUAGGAGCAUACCACAUCACCUUCGCAGGAACCCUCUUCCUGGGGGCUCGCCGUCAACAUCACCAGGGUCAUCUUGUCUAAUCUUAUACCGCAAUGCACCGCAUACCGGGCAUGCGUUCAGAUCCUUGUAUGCACCGCGGUAGAGGAUGCAGUCAUUAGGGCAUGCAUGUAUCUUCUCCACCUCCAAUCCUAGAGGGCAUAUGACCUUCUUUGCUACGUAUGUACUGUUGGGCAAUUCGUUAUCCUUUGGAAGCUUCUUCUUCAAUAUUUUCAGUAGCUUCUCAAAUCCUUUGUCAGCCACAACAUUCUCUGCCUUCCACUGCAGCAAUUCCAGUACGGUACCGAGCUUUGUGUUGCCAUCUUCACAAUUGGGGUAUAACCCUUUUUUGUGAUCCUCUAACAUGCGAUCGAACUUCAGCUUCUCCUUUUGACUUUCGCAUUGCGUCCUUGCAUCGACAAUGACCCGGCGGAGAUCAUCAUCAUCGGGCACAUCGUCUGGUUCCUCUUGAUCUUCAGCAGCUUCACCCGUUGCAGCAUCAUUGGGCACAUCGUUUGGUUCCUCUUGAUCUUCACCAGCUCCCCCCGUUGCAGCAUCACCAUAUUCAGGGGGCACAUAGUUGUCAUCGUACUCUUCUUCUUCGCUGUCUUCCAUCACAACCCCUAUUUCUCCGUGCCUCGUCCAAACAUUAUAGUGUGGCAUGAAAUCCUUGUAAAGCAGGUGGGAGUGAAGGAUUUUUGGGUUAGAGUAAGACCUCGUAUUCCCACAUUCAGUGCAUGGACAACACAUAAAACCAUUCUGCUUGUUUGCCUCAGCCGCAUCGAGAAACUCAUGCACGCCCCUAAUGUACUCGCGGGUGUGUCUGUCAUCGUACAUCCAUUGCCGGUUCAUCUGCGUGCAUUAUAUAUAAUUAAGUGUCCAAAUUAAUAGAAGUUCAUCAUCACAUUAAAACCAAAGUGCAUACAUAGUUCUCAUCUAACAACAUAUAGCUCUCCAGAGCAUCUAAUUAAUUAAACCAUACAUUGAAACUAUGUAAAACAUUUCAAUGCGAAAACAAAUGUGAUCAUAAUCGCAACCAAGGUAACAAUUGAUCCAACGGCAUAAUGAUACCAAGCCUCGGUAUGAAUGGCAUAUUUUCUAAUCUUUCUAAUCUUCAAGCGCAUUGCAUCCAUCUUGAUCUUGUGAUCAUCGACGACAUCCACAACAUGCAACUCCAACAUCAUCUUCUCCUCCUCAUUUUUUUUAUUUUUUCCUUCAACAAAUUGUUUUCUUCUUCAACUAAAUUUAACCUCUCGACAAUAGGGUUGGUUGGCAUUUCCGAUUCACAUCCUACAUAAAUAAAAUCUAUGUCACGUUGGUCGGCAUAAUUUUCAUAAACAAUAAAUGAACCAAUAGUUAUAAAGAUAAUAUAUAUACCACAUCCGAAUCAUAGACAGGACGAGGGCCGACGGGGGCGGAUACCAAAACCAUCGCACUAUAUAAGAUGCAAUAAUAAAAGUAAGAAAAUAAUACAAGUAUCUAUGUAAACAUACAAGUAAGAAUAUUUUUCCUUUCAGAAAGAAGAUAAAACAAGAGGCUCACCACGGUGGUGCCGGCGAUGAGCUCGGCGCGGGUGAUCGACGGCGGUGAAGACGGGGACGGGGCGUGACGGACCGCUAAACCUAGACAAAUAUUAUGGAAAAUGGAGCUUGGAGGUCGAGCUUGAAGAGGAGAAAGCUUAAGUAGUGUGGCUCGGGCAUUCCAUCGAACACCUUGUGUGCAUAGGAGGUGAGCUAGAGCACCACCAAGCCCUCUCCCCCUCGGUCAGAGAAAAACAGAGCACUGGGGUGCUCUGCUCGUGAGCGAGGGGUAUAUAUAGGCACCUCAUUGGUCCCGGUUGGUGACAUGAGCCGGGACUAAAGGGGAGCCUUUGGUCCCGGUUCAAGCCACCAACCGGGAUCAAUGGUGGUGGGCCAGGAGCGAGGCCCAUUGGUCCCGGUUCAUCCCACCAACCGGGACCAAAAGGUCCAGAUGAGCCGGGACCAAUGGCCCACGUGGCCCGGCCGGCCCCCUGGGCUCACGAACAGGGACCAAUUCCCACAUUGGUCCCGGUUCUGGACUGAACCGGGACUAACGGGCUGACCCGGCCUGGACCAAAGCCCUGUUUUCUACUAGUGCACGGAUACUGUUCAUCUUCACCGUCCCAACCGAUCACCUUCGACCAUCGGGAUUACUCGGCAAGUAUCCGGCGUGCAGGAUGGGCUGCCUUGGUGUUAGACCCGAUAAUUGACGGAUACCACUUCACACGAGUCUUGAUGGAUGGUGAUAGUAGUUUAAACCUGAUAUAUCAGGACACAGUCAGCAAAAUGGGGAUAGACCCAACAACAAUUAGCCAUAGCAAUACUACCUUUAAAGGAGUAACGCCAGGCCCAGAAUCCCAUUGCACGGGCUCCCUGCUACUAGAGGUUAUACUUGGCUUCCCCGAUAAGUUCCGCAGUGAAAAUUUAACCUUCCACAUCACUCCAUUCCAAAGUGGCUAUCAAGAACUACUCGGACGCGAAGCUUUCGCUCGCUUUAACGCAAUACCGUUUACGCUUCCCUCAUGCUCAAGAUUCCCGGUCCACGUGGCAUCAUUACAGUAAAUGGAAAUAUUGAGUGAUCCUUGCGCGCGGAAGACCGUGUGGCUACCUUGGCAGCCGCACACUAAACGGCCUCACCAACUAAAGCAUCUGACAGGUCGUUAAGACCACGAACACGGUUGGACGAGUCCGGUGCAGCUAUAUGUAAUUGAUACAAGUUUGAUGGCUAUACCCCUAUUACAAUACAAGGGGCUCAACGCGCGUGCACAAGUGGCAAUCAGGCUCAACUUUACUCAUUUUGAACUAUAUAUUGUUUAUUUAGUAUAACUUACCUUUUGCACGACAACUUUUCAAUUAAGUUCCUCUCUUUUUUAGAUGACCAUCAUGCUACACCCGUCCAGAAUACGGCACAACGGAGACACAGGUGCAGACGUGCAGCAGGGACCCGUUCCAAGGAUUCUUUUUAGAUUAAGACCCUGCGUAAACCUUUUUUACUGUCUCUUGUUGAUACAAAUCCCUCGGAUUCUUAGUAUAAUUGAGAGGGAUGCUGACGUAUUGGCAUGUGGCCACGUCAGAAUAUUGCAUGUACCUGGACACCAGGGGCUUAUUACAAAGGGCACUGUUUAGGCCCGGCUUCCACCAUAAAGACCGAAUACCUUAGGGAGUGUUCGGUGUCGUGAGUUUGGCCUUAUAUGCAUCAGCUCCGAAUCAUGUUUUUGGUCAAAUGUUGGGUUUGCCCGGCUCAUGUGUUUUGCUGCCUUACGUUCCACUCUAUCGGCACCAGGAGAACUACUGCGAUUGUGCCCUGGUUCAUCCGGACGAGCACCUCAGUAGAGAAAGCUGAAAACUGACUGUCAUGAUAUAGCGUGAGACUAGUCAACCACUCGAUGACCUAGCGGAAUCUUCGGGAUUGCUCCGCCUUAACGAAGGGCCGUUUCCCGGCCAGGCAUGUACGCACCCCGAAUUCGGAUGAGUGCGGAGCCACCAGGGGCUAUAUAGUAGCCCCACUGUCAAACUCCUCUGGCUAAGUGAAAGUGUUAAAGCAUUAUAGUCCGAUUGCCUAGUUCGCUGCGCUAUCACCUCCUUAAUGGACCAAGACGUUGGAUCAAGUGUGAACGUGUGUCUUCUGCGAACACCCCCGCAUUAUAUGCGUGGGGGCUGAAGCCGACGACUGCCAUCUUUCAGGUUAUAUACAUAUAUACAUAAACGGCCGCACAGGAGGCAUCAUAGUACUUUCGGGCAAAAGUAUAAAUACAGCCUUGAUAAACUCAAUAAAACAUUGUUUUAACAAUGGGAAUACGUGUCACUCAAACAUAAUAUUCUUCAAGCACUGAGCCUCUAUCAAACGAGCGCCUUCAAGAACUCCUUCAAAGUAGUGCUCGGCAGCCACUCGGCCUAUGGCCGAACCCUGUGCCGCAACAGUGGUGGCAUCCAUCUCCGCCCAGUAUAUUUUGACACGGGCAAGGGCCAUCGGCGAGCCUUCUAUGCACGCCGACCUCUUUACAGCAUCGAUGUGAUGCACAACGCCAAGGAAUUGUUGCACUAAGCUAAAAUAGCUAUUCGGCCUUGGCCCUCCUGGCCACAAAUGAUCCACAAUGGACCUCAUGGCCAGUCCGGAUAAUCUAUGGAGCUCGGCCCAACCGGUCAAUCACUCAUUCAGCAACAGCGGACGGGCUGGAGCGUGAAACUGUGACCAGAACAAUUUAUCCACUUCAGGACCUUUCUGAUCCUUGAAGUACUCGGUCGCAUCCGCAGCACUUGCAGCCAAAUCCAUGUACUCAUCCGCAGAACUACAUAGCCGGUCCAGAGGAGCAUAUUUCGGAUCUCCGAACUUAGUCCGCAACAAGAAGGACUUCCCAGAAACGAUAUCCGCAGCUUGAUUCAGCUCCUCCUUGUCGCUCUAAUUUUGGAGCGGGCUUCCUUGGCAGCCACCCGGGCCUUCUCCAGGUCCGUCGCCUUCACCCGGUUUUCUUCUCCAAGAAGCCGAUAACAGUCAGCAACAUUUUUUUACUCCAUGGCCAUCUUAGCAAUUUUUUCUUUGCUCCAGCAAUGUGCGACCUGUUCGGCCCUUAACUCUUCGGCCGCCUUUAAAGCGGUCGCAUUACUACUCCUUGCUUGAUCCUUGGCUCGGGUAAGCUCCGCCCGAAGGGUCUCCACGGUGGCAGCUCCAUCUGCAGUCACAACAUAUUAAAGAUACUAGCAUCAUGCUGCUCUUAGUAUGUGACAUUCACUAGAAGAAUCACCUACCCUGUGCCUCGUCAAGCCGCUUAUUGACAAGCACGAUGUCGGCAUCUGCCGCAUCCAGCUGCCGCUUUAGUUCGGCAUACCCAUCAGUCCGGCUAGCCACCGGAGCCUCCACCACCUGCACAUAAAGGCAGUCUGGUUACUACCUGGGACUAUGAUCCUCCGUUUGCCACCGUUUUCGACGACAACCAGAGUCUCAAGGCUACUAUCUACACAGGGCACAUCUAAAAAUGUGUGGUACUUUCAAAAAUGUACAUCAUUUCGCGUACCUCAAAACCCGUCAGUAGACUCGUAAAGGCUUCAUGCGGCGCUUUUGGCAGACGAAAUCCUUUCAAUCACCGUACCCAUCAAUGUGUGGUGCUCUUCUGAGAUAGCCGCUUUCUCCAGCAGAUCCCUUCGUACAUCCGACCGCACACCAGACGGUGCAGGACUCUUUUGAUUUCUCUCUUUGAGAGCCGGAUACUGAGGACUUUGGGUGGCCACAUGAUUACCUUCUGGCCUUGCCGGAUCAGGAGAAGCCCUCCGCGAUGACACCUCGGGGUCGCCCUCUACGUAAGGCGGUGUGGCAGGGGGAGGCGUUUCGCUCUCCAUCAUCUCCGGAAGAAGAUCCCCCGAAGACGAGCUCUGCUGAGAAGGGCUAAGAUCCGAACUACAAGAUAAAUGCUUCGAUUAUUUUCCUCAGAAAUAGAGCAAGAUAUUUUCGUUAUUGAAUACCCUUUUACUUACAGCUUAGUAGAGGGCUGAUCCCCGCGCGGACAUUGUGCGGCAAGAGUACCCUCCAGGGCAGGUCCCUCUGGCGGAGAUUUCUUCUCCCGUUUGGAAACCUUAGUUUCCGGAUCUUCAGAGGUAGACCUCUUCCUUCCCCGGGGAGAGAGAAUGUCAAAUUCUUCCCCUUGGUUAUCCUCCCUCGCGGAGGUGCUCAUUCCCUCGAUGGGAAUAGGUAGCGACGGAGGCCCGCUUUCGCCCUCUUUAUUCCCCCCUUCAUCUUCCUUUGAGGGCACUAGACAAGGUGCUGGCUCGAGCAUCUUUUCCAGCACCGGAUUGUCCAAGCCUUCAGGAAGGGGGGCCGAACACCGGAUCAUCUUCGCCUUUGUUAUCCAGUCCUGGUUAAAGAGUGAUUCUUCAAAAUGAUGUCAUGAUAAAUAAAAAGACAGUGUGUUCGGCCAUGGGAUUACUUACUUGGGGAGCAGGGCAGUUGCAGCUCAGGCCCACGUCCUCGGUAGUGUCCGGACACUCUAUUUGGGGUCCGAAGAACGAUUUGUACAUCUCCUCGUGCGUCAUGCCGAGGAAAUUCUGAAUAGUGCGCGGUCCUUCCGGGUUGAAUUCCCACAUGCGGAGGGUCCGGCGUUUGCAAGGCUGGACUCGACGAACCAGCAUAACUUGCAUUACCAUAACCAGACUAAAAUCCCCCUCGAAGAGAUCUCAGAUACGGCUCUACAGUAUUGGCACGUCCUUGGCUGGACCCCCGAUCAGCCCCCUGCUGAUCCAUGACAUCAGUUGUGGUGGAGGGCCCGAGCGAAAGGUGGGGGAAGCUACCCACUUGGCACUUCGGGCAGCUGUGACGUAAAACCACUCCCGUUGCCACAAUCCGGACACCUCUGGAAAGGAACCCUUUGGCCAUGGAGCGUCAGCAAUUUUUCUUAUUAGAGCACCUCCGCACGCUACGUACUGCCCCUCGACCAUCUUUGGCUUCACAUUGAAGGUCUUGAGCCAUAGGCCAAAGUGAGGGGUAAUGCGGAGGAAGGCCUCACAGAUGACAAUAAAUGACGAGAUGUGAAGAAGGGAAUCCGGGGCCAGAUCUUGAAAAUCCAGCCCAUAAUAGAACAUGAGGCCCCUAACAAAAGGAUCCAGAGCGAGGCCUAGUCCUUGGAGGAAGUGGGAGAUGAACACAACGCUCUCAUUGGGUUCGGGAGUAGGGACGACCUGCCCUCGGCCGAGCAGCCUAUGCGAAAUUUCAGCGGUCAGAUAUCAGGCCUCCCUCAACUUCUUGAUGUCCUCCUCCGUGACGGAGGAAGGCAUCCACCUGCCUUGAAGGCUGGAUCCGGACAUGAUUGAAGGUCCGGGGCACCUGACCUGGGCUUUGGGUGUUAGAACUCGAGGCGGGGGAAGGAUUCGAUUGAGCACGGGAGGGAAAAAAGAAAAAGCCUUGUCCCUUUAUAAAGGGGAUGAAUAUCAGGCGUCCUCCUCGUAGCCGUUCUAGACUUACCUAAAAUCUAGGAGUCAUACCAACAGGCACGGUUGGGUUACCCACAUUUGUAUUGAUGAGAAUCCCGUGAUAAGGGGAACACGAUCUCUGCUUUGACAAGACGUGUCAAGAAACCGCCUCGCGUUAUGUGCGGGGCUGGUUAAAGAAAAAUGGUUCAAAUAAUUACCGGGCCGUGGCGUGAUGUCAUGCUGCCAAAACAUGUCAGCAAAUUGGACUUGUGGAAAUAUUAUUCUCUCUACAAUGGUAUGUGGAACUUAUUUUGCAGGGUCGGACACUAUCCUUGUAUUCAAACUCUUCCGUGGUGUAUUCGGAGGAGGAACCCGCCUUGCAAUGCCGAAGACAACACUGCAUGCCAGACUCAUCAUCAUUGAAGCCUGGUUCAGGGGCUACUGAGGGUAUCCUGGAUUAGGGGGUCUCCGGAUAGCCGAACUAUAUCCUUUGGCCGGACUGUUGGACUAUGAAGAUACAAGAUUGAAGAUUUCGUACCGUGUCCGGAUGGGACUCUACUUGGCGUGGAAGGCAAGUUAGGCAAUACGGAUAUGGAUAUCUCCUCCUUUGUAACCGACCUUAUGUUACCCUAGCCUCCCUCGGUGUCUAUAUAAACCGGAGGGUUUUAGUCCGUAGGACAACAUACAAUCAUACCAUAUGCUAGCUUCUAGGGUUUAGCCUCUCUGAUCUCGGGUAGAUCAACUCUUGUACUACUCAUAUUAUCAAGAAUAAUCAAGCAGGACGUAGCGUUUUACCUCCAUCAAGAGGGCCCGAACCUGGGUAAAACAUCGUGUCCCCUGCCUCCUGUAACCAUCCGCCUUAGACGCACAUUUCGGGACCCCCUACCCGAGAUCCGCUGGUUUUGACACCGACACCCGCAGCACCAAGUGGGUAGCUGCACUCACGUUUCGCCCUGGCCCACCGUUACAGCUUGCAUCAUGGGCCAACAAGGGGCUGGAUUGGGGAUCAGUUGAUGAAGUGCGGACUCUACAAAGUCGCAUACGAACCCUCCUCGAGAGGGAUAUCGAUCUUGUCAGCGUGAUUCAAGUAAUGUUGAUUCGCCGAAUCCUACCAUGCCAACGUACGCCUCUCUGUAUGUGGGAGUUCAAUCCAGAAGGACCACGAUCCCUCCAACACUUCUUCGGCAUUACGCACAAAGGGAUGUGGAAGUUGUUUUUCGGAAAACGAAAACAUUGGCCGAACACUAUUGAGGACACAUGCCUCGACUGUAACUGUCCGGAUACCCCGGUAAGCACUUGACUUCCGAACACCCUUUUUUUAAGUAUGCUGUAAUACAUUAUUGAGCAAACUAUCUCCUCCUAGGGCUGGAUAAACAAAAGCGGAGCUGAUUAGGUGUCCGCCCCCCCCCCCUUUCCGAAGGUUUAGCGGAUCCUGUAUUAACAAGGAUCCUAUCCCCGACACCGUACCAGAUGCUUGUGAAGGAGGGAAAGGCAGAGAGGACCAAAGAUGGCCCCCAUCCCGAUGGUGUGCCAGACAAGAUUCCAUCGUCCGAAGAAAAAAAUGACGGGAAAGUCAACGUCUCUUCCCCCCAUGGGAAGAAAAGGGUCACCUCCGAAGAUUGGGAGGAAAAGGCUCAUAAACGAGGCAAGAUGCCUUCGUCGGGUGGCUCGGGCUUGGAGGACAACGUCAUCGCACAGUCCCAUGAUGAGGACAAGCCUCAGGCCAACUCGUAAGUGAACAAGGGUGUUUUAAACACGUCACACCCCUUUCUUGUAACGUCUAGAAUAUAUGUUUUUUUGUAGUUCGGCACGCAGUCUUCUUCAACAAUCCUCUUCCUCGGGGGAUCUUCUCCCGAGAUGAUGGAAAGCGAGACACCUCCACCAAUCUCGUCGCCCAAUAGGGCGGAUGACUUCAAGGUGUCGUAGCGGAGGGUAUCUCCCGAUCAACAAGUGGUGCGAGGGAUGACGAAGACACAACCCGAAGGUGAUACUUCGGUGGCCCAUGGUCCGGGGACCAACAGUAAAGGCCCCGAACAUUCCGGUCUACAGCCGGAUAUGAAUAAACGGAUUCCUUGAAAGGGAGGCCGUACUCCUUCAGCAGCCUCCGGAGUCCCAGAGGCGCCGGAUAUAUUGACGAACAUGCUGCGACAGGCGUCCGUCUCAGAGGAACAUCGUACCUUGAUGAGCACGGUGAUAGAAAAGGUCCUGGCCGCGAAAAGCGGAUUGAAUGAGGCCUUCAUGGGCCUACUAGGAUGCUUCGAGGUUUGUACCGUAAUAUGUUCGAUUGUGUUUUAUUCAAGAAUACACCUGUGCAUAGAUAGUAGCCCCUAAGACUCUGAUUGGCUUCCCAAGGGAGAUGGUUAUAUGAUCAAAAGAUAUGCCCAGGAAGUAAUAUGAUUGUUGGAACACAGGAUGUGACCUCCCCGGAAACUGUCUGGACUGUAGAGAUUGUGGAUUUGCAAGACAAGAUUGAUGAGGCAGAUACUGAUAUCACGCUUAUCAACAGGCGUCUUGACGAGUCGCAAGGUACAUGUUCAAAGCAAUCCAUACAUAUAAGUUUUUUAAUAUAAGCGUGACACUGAAAGUUGCAUACUGGAAUAUGCAUGGUUGCAGAUGGUGGUGCCGCCGUUGAGAUUCUUCGGGCGGAGCUGGCCCGGGCCAAGGAGUAGGCCUGGUUUAGUAAUGUGGCUGCCAAAAAGGCAUCGACCAAGUUAAAGGCCGAACAAGCUGCUCAGCACCAAGACGAGGAGAAAAUAUCCUCGAUGGUGCUCGAACUAAAAAAUACUACCAGCCGCUAUGAAUUCCUAGAGAAGGAGAAUAAAGCCAAAGCGGCUGAGCUUGACAAGGCCUUGCGAGAGGCGAAAGAAGCGCGGUCCGAAUCUAGAGCGGCCCGUGAGGAGAUCCGGCAAGUUGGGAAGAUUGCCGCUGGUAAGCCAUUUUUAUUACAGACAAAGUUCGGCGAUCCGAAUUAUGCUUAGCUUAACCAAGUGUGGAGUUCUCCAGAUGUGUUUUUGGACAUGCCGAAGAGUUCAUCCGAUGCGGCGCAGUUUUACCAAGCGCAAGAGGGAUAUGCAAUGGAGAAGCUUUUCUGGUCAUAGUUUGGCGCAUCAAAACGCCCUCUACUGCUGAAUGAACAAAUGUCCCAACUGGUCGAGCUUCACAAGAUGUCCACAGCUGCCAUGAAGAACGUCAUACUUUAGCUAUGGCCGACUGAGCCGAUUCCGAAUAGCUAUUUCGGCUUGGUGCGGUGGCUUGCUGAUGCGGUGCCACGUAUCGACGCCGUGAAGUGGUCGACAUGCAUUGAAGGUGCACGGAUGGCCUUUGCCCGAGUCAAGACAUACUGGGGGAAGAUGAAGGCCGUCGAUGUUGCAUUGCAGGGUCCACCCAAGGGCAAGGACCAUCACGCACCAGAGCAAUACUUUGAGGACAUCUUAGAGGCUGCCCGCUUGAUAGAGGGUCAAUGUUCGAAAGGCAUAAUAUUCAAGUGAACUCUUUACAAAUUGUAAAAGACAAUUGUUAUAAUCAAUCUAUAUUUUGAUUUUGCCUAAAGGCUUUUGUUCCUCAUGUGCGGCUGUUUGUAUGUGAACUGAAAGUUUUCCAGUCAUCGGCUUCAGCCCCUGAUGACCCACAAGUAUAGGGGAUCUAUCAUAGUCCUUUGGAUAAGUAAGAGUGUCGAACCCAACGAGGAGCAGAAGGAAAUGAUAAGCAGUUUCCAGCAAGGUAUUCUCUGCAAGUACUGAAAUAAGUGGUAACCGAUAGUUUUAUGAUAGGAUAAUUUGUAAUGAGCAACAAGUAACAAAGGUAAAUAAAGUGCAGCAAGGUGGCCCAAUCCUUUUUGUAGCAAAGGACAAGCCUGGACAAACUCUUAUAUAGAUAAAAGCGCUCCUGAGGACACAUGGGAAUAUCAUCAAGCUCGUUUUCACCACGCUCAUAUGAUUCGCGUUCGGUACUUUGAUAAUUUGGUAUGUGGGUGGACUGGUGCUUGGGUACUGUCCUUACUUGGACAAGCAUCCCACUUAUGAUUAACCUCUAUUGCAAGCAUCCGCAACUACAACAAAAGUGUUAAGGUAAACCUAACCAUAGCAUGAAACAUAUGGAUCCAAAUCAGCCCCUUACGAAGCAACGCAUAAACUAGGGUUUAAGCUUCUGUCACUCUAGCAACCCAUCAUCUACUUAUUACUUCCCAAUGCCUUCCUCUAGGCCCAAAUAAUGGUGAAGUGUCAUGUAGUCGACGUUCACAUAACACCACUAGAGGAGAGACAACAUACAUCUCAUCAAAAUAUCGAAUGAAUACCAAAUUCACAUGACUACUAAUAGCAAGACUUCUCCCAUGUCCUAAAGAACAAGCGUAACUACUCACAAAGCAUAAAUAUGUUCAUAAUCGAGGGGUAUUAAUAUGCAUAUAGGAUCUGAACAUAUGAUCUUCCACCAAAUAAACCAACUAGCAUCAACUACAAGGAGUAAUUAACACUACUAGCAACCUACUAGCACCAAUCCCGGACUUGGAGACAAGAAUUGGAUACAAGAGAUGAACUAGGGUUUUGAGAGGAGAUGGUGCUGAUGAAGAUGUUGAUGGAGAUUGCCCUCUCCCGAUGAGAGGAGCAUUGGUGAUGACAAUGGCGAUGAUUUCCCCCUCCAGGAGGGAAGUUUCCCCGGCAGAACAGCUCCGCCAGAGCCCUAGAUUGGUCCCGCCUCGUGGCGGCGGAGUUUCUUCUGAGAACAUGGCUUAUUAUUUUUUCCCAUCGAAAGACUUCAUAUAGCAGAAGAUGGCCACCGGAUAGCCACUAGGGGGCCCACGAGGUAGGGGGGUGCGCUCAGGGGGGUAGGGCGCGCCCCCCACCCUCGUGGGCAGGGUGUGGCCCCCCUGGUGAAUCUCUUCCGCUGAGUAUUUUUUAUAUAUUCUGAAAACGUCUUCCGUGAAGUUUCAGGACUUUUGGAGCUGUGCAGAAUAGGUCUCUACUAUUUGCUCCUUUUCCAGCCCAGAAUCCCAGCUGCCGGCAUUCUCCCUCUUCAUGUAAACCUUGUAAAAUAAGAGAGAAUAUGCAUAAGUAUUGUCACAUAAUGUGUAAUAACAGCCCAUAAUGCAAUAAAUAUUGAUAUAAAAGCAUGAUGCAAAAUGGGCGUAUCAACUCCCCCAAGCUUAGACCUCGCUUGUCCUCAAGCGAAAAGCCAAAAUCGAAAAAUAUGUCCACACGUUUAGAGAUAGAGGUGUCGAUAAAAAUAAAAUACGGACAUGAGGGCAUCAUGAUCAUUCUUAGAACAACAACUUACAUAAUUCUUGUCAUAUGAUUCCUUAUGCUAGAUUAAUAAUUCAAUCACAAUUUCAACUAUGAAUCGUAAACUUCAUUGAAAACUAACAAACUAUAAUCUCAGUCAUUGGAGCAAUUGCAAUUUAUCAUAACAUAGGAAAGAGUCAAUAUAUAAGAGCUUUUCAGCAAGUCCACAUACUCAACUAUCAUAUAGUCUUUCACAAUUGCUGACACUCACACAAUACUUAUGGGUAUGGAGUUUUAAUCGGACACGGAGAAAGAUAGGGGCUUAUAGUCUUGCUUCCCAACAUUUUACCUCAAGGGUAAUGUCAACAAUAAUAGUUCAUGAAAACUCACAUCCAAUUAGCCAUAUAUACCAAGAUCUUUCCAACAUACUGUGCUCGCCAAAGGAUAAAGUGUAAAAAGGAAUGGUGAAGAUCACCAUGACUCUUAUGCAAGGUAGGAGAUAAAAGUAGAAGAUAAGCCUUUCGCAGAGGGAAGUAGAGGUUGUCAUGCGCUUUAAUGGUUGGAUGCACAGAAUCUUAAUGCGAAAGAACGUCACUUUAUAUUGCCACUUGUGAUAUGGACCUUUAUUAUGCAGUCUGUCGCUUUUAUUUCUUCCAUAUCACACAAUCGUAUAAAGCUUAUUUUCUCCCACGCUAAUAAGUCAUACAUAUUUAGAGAGCAAUUUUUAUUGCUUGCACCGAUGACAACUUACUUAGAGGAUCUUACUCAAUCCAUAAUAAAACUGGUUUAAGGGUAUUUGGAAGCACAAGUAGUAUCUCUACUUGGUGCGAUGAAUUUGGCUAGCAUGAGGGAGAAAGGCAAGCUCAACCAUGUUGUAUGAUCCAUGACAAUAUAAUUUAUCUCAGAUGUAAGAAACCAUAACCCAUUACGUUGUCUUCCUUGUCCAACGUCAACUCUUUUAGCAUGUCAUAUUUUAAUGAGUGCUCACAAUCAUAAAAGAUGUCCAAGAUAGUAUAUUUAUAUGUGAAGACCUCUCUUUCUUUAUUACUUCAUAUUAUUUGCAACGAUGACCAAAACUAUGCUUGUCAACUCUCAACAACUUUUAUUCAUCAUACUUUUUCUAUGUGAGCUCACCACUCUCCAUAAGACUCACAUGAUCUCUUUGUUUAUUUUUAUUUCUUUCUCUUUUCUUUCUCUUAGGAUCAUGGCAAAAUAAUCAAGCCCUUGACUCAACACUAAUCUUUAUUAUAUAGCUCACGGACUCGAUUACAUAGAAGGACUAUAAAGAAAAACUCACAACUAGAUCAUACUAAGACUUUUAUUCCACUAAAUCAAGAUAUUACCAAAAGUAUCGAACUAAGAAAAAUGGUAAAGAUAAAGAUAAAGGUGAUACGAUACCGGGGCACUCCCCCAAGCUUGGCAGUUGCCAAGUGGAGUGCCCAUACCAGAUGCUCAAUUAUUUUUUGUUGGUGCAUAAGGUGGAGUUGUUGAUGAUGGACAGUCGCACAUCGAGCGUAGGAGGUCUUCUAACUUGCGGAUAAUGCCCUUGAGUGCGAUGAUAUGCUCCUUCAACAAAAUAUUUUCACAUGUGAGAUACUUAUUUUGUAUAUGAGCUAACUCAAUCAUCUUGAAAGCUUCGAUUUUUUUUGGGGUAAGAAGAUUGUGAUCAAGUUGAAGGGCGUCUUCUGUUGCCGGAACUUGGUCCUCCAUGGCCUUCUUGAUCCCUUCAUCCUUGUUGAUCUCCAUGGGUUCUUAUCUCUUCAGCUCUAUCUUCAUUAGCCAAGCAUCAUUGCCCUCAUGGUUGGAGGAGGAGGAGGGAGACGACAUAGUGCCUGGCCUUGACAACCCUGACAGAAAACAACUCGAAACAAAGACAGGAGAUUUUUGCAUGAUACGGGAGUCAAAACCUCCGGGGGAUUAUAUAAUGAAUUUUUACCGGCCAAAAUACGUGUCGUGUAAGAAAACGGAGUCCGGGAAGUGCACGAGGAGCCCACGAGGUAGGGGGCGCACCAAGGGGGUAGGGCGCACUCUCCACCCUCGUGGAGCCCUCGUGUCCUUCCCGGACUGCUUCUUAUUUUUCUAUUUUUCUAAAUACUCCAAAACGGAGAAAUAUUCCCUUAAAAACUGUUUUGGAGUCGGUUUACUUACCGUACCACAUACCUAUUCCUUUUCGGAGUCUGGAGCGUUCCGGAAAGUGUCCCUUAUGUAUUCCUCCAGGGUUACGGUUUCAAUAACAUUGGUUUCAACAUUUAUGGGAUUACCUAAGAUAUAAUGUUUGAUUCUUUGACCGUUCACCACCUUCGGAUUUGUGCCUUCGAAGUUGUUGAUUUUUAUGGCACCGGAACGAUAGACCUCCUCGAUAACGUAAGGACCUUCCCAUUUAGAGAGAAGGUUUCCAGCAAAAAAUCUUAAACGAGAGUUGUAUAGCAAUACAUAAUCACCAACACUAAACUCACGCUUUUGUAUCCUUUUGUCAUGCCAUCUUUUAACUUUUUCUUUAAACAACUUGGCAUUUUCAUAGGCUUGGGUUCUUGAUACGUCUCCAACGUAUCUAUAAUUUUUGAUUGCUCCAUGCUAUAUUAUCUACUAUUUUGGACUAUAUUGGGCUUUAUUUUCCACUUUUAUAUUAUUUUUGGGACUAACCUAUUAACCGGAGGCCCAGCCCAGAAUUGUUGUUUUUUUGCCUAUUUCAGUAUUUCAGAGAAACAGAAUAUCAAAUUGAGUCCAAACGGAAUAAAACUUUCGGGAACGUGAUUUUCUCACUGAACGUGAUCCAGGAGACUUGGACCCUACUCCAAGGAGUCAAAGAGGCGGUCACGAGGGUGGGGGGCACGCCCACCCCCCUAGGGCGCGCCCCCUGCCUCAUGGACCCCUCGGUGCUCCACCGCCGUACUCCUUCCUCCUAUAUAUACCUACGUACCCCCAAACGAUCAGAACAGGAGCCAAAAACCUAAUUCCACCACCGCAACUUUUUGUAUCCAUGAGAUCCCGUCUUGGGGCCUGUUCUGGAGCUCCACCGGAGAGGGCCGUCAUCACGGAGGGCUUCUACAUCAUCAUAGCCCCUCCGAUGAAGUGUGAGUAGUUUACCUCAGACCUUCGGGUCCAUAGUUAGUAGCUAGAUGGCUUUUUCUCUCUUUUUGGAUCUCAAUACAAAGUUCUCCCCCUCUCUUGUGGAGAUCUAUUCGAUGUAAUCUUCUUCUUUUUGCGGUGUGUUUGUUGAGACCGAUGAAUUGUGGGUUUAUGAUCAAGUCUAUCUAUGAAUAAUAUUUGAAUCUUCUCUGAAUUCUUUUAUGUAUGAUUGGUUAUCUUUGCAAGUCUCUUCGAAUUAUCUGUUUGGUUUGGCCAACUAGAUUGGUAGUUCUUGCCAUGUGAGAAGUGCUUAACUUUGGGUUCGAUCUUGCGGUGUCCUUUCCCAGUGACAGAAGGGGUAGCAAGGCAUGCAUUGCAUCGUUGCCAUCGAGGAUAACAAGAUCGGGUUUAUUUCAUAUUGCAUGAAUUUAUCUCUCUACAUCAUGUCAUCUUGCUUAAAGCGUUACUCUGUUUUUAACUUAAUACUCUAGAUGCAUGCUGGAUAGCGGUCGAUGAGUGGAGUAAUAGUAGUAGAGGAAGAAUCGUUUCGGUCUACUUGUCAUGGAUGUGAUGCCUAUAUACAUGAUCAUGCCUAGAUAUUCUCAUAACUAUGCUCAAUUCUGUCAAUUGCUCAACAGUAAUUUGUUCACCCACCGUAGAAUACUUAUGCUCUUGAGAGAAGCCACUAGUGAAACCUAUGGCCCCCGGGUCUAUUCUCAUCAUAUCAAUCUCCAUCACUUUAAUCUUGCUUUGCUUUUUUACUUUGCCUUUUACUUUUUACUUUGCAUCUCUAUACCAAAAAUACCAAAAAUAUUAUAUCUAUCAGAUCUCACUCUCGUAAGUGACCGUGACGGGAUUGACAACCCCUAAUCACGUUGGUUGCGCGUAGCUAUCGUUUUGUGCAGGUAUGAGGGACUUGAGCGUGGCCUCCUACUGGACUGAUACCUUGGUUCUCAAAAACUAAGGGAAAUACUUAUGCUACUCUGCUACAUCAUCCUUUCCUCUUCGAGGAAAUCCAUCGCAAGCUCAAGAGGUUGCAAGAAGAAUUUCUGGCGCCGUUGCCGGGGAGUCUACGCAAAAAGUCAACAUACCAAGUACCCGUCACAAUCCCUAUCUCUCGCAUUACAUUAUUUUCCAUUUGCCUCUCGUUUUCCUCUCCCCCAGUUCACCCUUGCCGUUUUAUUCGCCCUCUCUCUCUCUAUCCUCCCUCUCUAUUUGCCUCUUUUUGCCCGCUUGCCUUUUUGUUUGCUCGUGUGUUGGAUUGCUUGUUUGUCGCGAUGGCUCAAAAUACUACCAAAUUGUGUGACUUCACCAAUACCAAUAAUAAUGAUAUCCUUAGCACUCCAAUUGCUCCUCUUGCCAAUACUGAAUCUUGUGAAAUCAAUACUGCUUUGUUGAAUCUUGUUAUGAAAGAUCAAUUCGCCGGCCUUCCUAGUGAAGAUGCCACUACUCAUCUGAAUAGCUUCGUUGAUUUAUGUGAUAUGCAAAAGAAAAAAGAUGUCAAUAAUGAUGUCGUUAAAUUGAACCUAUUUCCUUUUUCUCUUAGAGAUCGUGCUAAAGCUUGUUUUUCGUCUUUGCCUAAAAAUAGUAUUGAUUCUUGGAACAAGUGCAAAGAUGCUUUUAUCUCUAAGUAUUUCCCUCCCGCUAAGAUCAUCUCUCUUAGAAACGAUAUUAUGAACAUUAAGCAACUUGAUCAUGAACAUGGUGCACAAGCUUGGGAGAGAAUGAAAUUAAUGAUACGUAAUUUCCCUACUCAUGGUUUGAAUUUGUGGAUGAUUAUACACAAAUUUUAUGUCGGAUUGAAUUUUGCUUCUAGAAAUCUUUUAGAUUCGGCCGCGGGAGGCACUUUUAUGGAAAUCACUUUAGGAGAUGCUACUAAACUCCUAGAUAAUAUUAUGGUUAAUUAUUCUCAAUGGCAUACUGAAAGAUCUUCUAAUAAAAAAGUGCAUGCGAUAGAAGAAAUCAAUGUUUUGGGUGGAAAGAUGGAUGAACUUAUGAAAUUAUUUGCUACUAAGAGUGUUUCUUCUGAUCCUAAUGAUAUGCCUUUGUAUACUUUGAUUGAGAAUAACAAUGAAUCUAUGGAGGUGAAUUUUGUUGGUAGGAAUAAUUUUGGUAACAACGCUUAUAGAUGGAAUUUUAAUCCUAGGCCAUAUCCUAGUAAUUCUUCUAAUAAUUAUGGGAAUUCCUACAACAACUCUUAUGGAAAUUAUAAUAAGAUGCCCUCGGAAUGUGAGAAUAGUGUUAAAGAGUUUAUGAAUUCACAAAAUAAUUUUAAUGCUUUGCUUGAAGAUAAAUUGCUUAAAGUUGAUGAGUUGGCUAGGAAAGUUGAUAGAAUUUCUCUUUAGGUUGAUUCUUUAAAGCUUAGAUCUAUUCCUCCUAAGCAUGAUAUCAAUGAGUCUCUCAAAGCCAUGAGAAUUUCCAUUGAUGAGUGCAAGGAAAGAACCGCUAGGAUGCGUGCUUCCAAAGAUGCCUUUAUUAAAGCGCAUUCUUCCAAUUCCUAUGAAAAUCAAGAUGAAGAUCUAAAAGUUAUUGAUGUGUCACCUAUUAAAUCUUUGUUUUGCAAUAUGAAUCUUGAUGAAACUGAAUAUGAUCUUCUUUUACCUAGAAGGAGUUCUAAAAAUUCGGAGUAUUUAGAUCUUUAUGAUGAAAUUGAUGAAAGUGGGAUUGAAAGAAAUAAAAAUCUAGAUGUUGCUAAACCCACUAUAUUGGAUUUCAAGGAAUUUAAUUAUGAAAGUUGCUCUUUAAUUAAUUGUAUUUCCUUUAUGCAAUCCGUGCUAAAUUCUCCACAUGCUUAUAGUCAAAAGAAAGCCUUCGCCGAACAUAUUUUUGAUGCCUUGAUGCAAUCUUAUGAAGAAAAACUUGAGUUGAAAGUUUCUAUCCCUAGAAAACUCUAUGAUGAGUGGGAACCAACUAUUAAAAUUAAAAUUAAAGGUCACGAGUUUUAUGCUUUGUGUGAUUUGGGUGCUAGUGUCUCCACUAUCCCCAAAACUUUGUGUGAUUUGCUAGAUUUCGCAAUUUUGAUGAUUGCUCUCUAAAAUUGCAUCUUGCAGAUUCUACUAUUAAGAAACCUAUGGGAAGGAUUAAUGAUGUUCUUAUUGUUGCAAAUAGAAAUUAUGUGCCCGUAGAUUUAAUUGUUCUUCAUAUAGAUUGCAAUCCUUCUUGCCCUAUUAUUCUUGGUAGACCUUUCAUUAGAACGGUUGGUGCGAUUAUUGAUAUGAAGGAAGGGAAUAUUAGAUUUCAAUUUCCAUUAAAAAAGGGCAUGGAACAAUUUCCAAGAAAGAAAAUAAAAUUGCCAUAUGAAACUAUCAUGAGAUCCACUUAUGGAUUGCCUACCAAAGAUGGCAAUACCUAGAUCUAUCCUCGCUUUUAUGCCUAGCUAGGGGCGUUAAACGAUAGCGCUUGUUGGGAGGCAACCCAAUUUUAUUUUUAUUCCUUAAUUUUUGCUCCUGUUUCAUAAUAAAUAAAGUAUUUAGCCUCUGUUUUGGUUGUGUUUUUUGUGUUUAAUUAGUGUUUGUGCCAAGUAGAACCGUUGGGAAGACUUGGGGAAAGUCUGGUUGAACUUGCUGUAAAAAACAGAAACUUUUGCGCUCACGAGAACUGCUGCCAUUUUUAUUUGGGGAGUGAUAUUUAGUUAAUUCUUUUUGCAGAUGAUUAAUAGAUAAAUUCCUCACGUCCAGAAAUUUAUUUUAGAAUUUUUGGGGUUCCAUAUAUUGCUCUAGCUACCGAUUACUACAGACUGUUCUGUUUUUGACAGAUUCUGUUUUUCGUGUGUUGUUGCUUAUUUUGAUGAUUCUAUGGUUAGUAAAAUAGUUUAUAAUUAGAAGUUGGAAUACAGUAGGUUUAACACCAAUAUAAAUUAAUAAUGAGUUCAUUACAUUACCUUGAAGUGGUCUUUUGUUUUCUUUCGCUAACGGAGCUCACGAGUUUUCUACUUUAAGUUUUGUGUUGUGAAGUUUUCAAGUUUUGGGUUAAUUCUUGUGAUGGAUUAUGGAACAAGGAUUGGAAAGAGCCUAAGCUUGGGGAUGCCCAUGGCACGCCCAAUAUAAUCCAAGGACACCAAAAAGUCAAAGCUUGGGGAUGCCCCGGAAGGCAUCCCCUCUUUCGUCCACUCCCAUCGGUAAUUUACUUGGAGCUAUAUUUUUAUUCACCAACAUGAUAUGUGUUUUGCUUGGAGAGUCUUGUAUUAUUUUUGUCUUUGUGUUUUAGUAUGCCACAAUCAUCCUUGCUGUACACACCUUUUGAGAGAUCCAUACAUGAAUUAAAAUUUGAUAUAAUACUCUAUGUGCUUCACUUAUAUCUUUUUGAGCUAAGUAAUUUUGCUCUAUGUGCUUCACUUAUAUCUUUUGAGCUAUGUAAUUUUGCUCUAUGUGCUUCACUUAUAUCUUUUUGAGCUAAGUAGUUUUGCUCUAUGUGCUUCACUUAUAUCUUCUGAGCGUUAUAAUUUUGCUCUAUGUGCUUCACUUAGAUCUUUUAGAGCACGGUGGUGGAUUUGUUUUAAAGAAACUAUUGAUCUCUCAUGCUUCACUUAAAUUAUUUUAAGAGUCUUAAUAGCAUGGUAAUUUGCUUAAUGAUAACAUGCUUGGUAUUCAAUAUUUGUGAAACUUUCUUUUGAGUGUGUUGAAUACUAAGAAAAGUUGGAUGCUUGAUAAUUGUUUUGAGAUAUGGAGGUAGUAAUAUCAAAGUCAUGCUAGUAGAGUAAUUCUGAAUUUGAGAACUGCUUGAGUUAAAGUUUGCAAGUCCCGUAGCAUGCACGUAUGGUAAACGUUAUGCAACAAAUUUGAAACAUGAGGUGUUAUUUGAUUGUCCUCCUUAUGAGUGGCGGUCGGGGACGAGCGAUGGUCUUUUCCUACCAAUCUAUCCCCUAGGAGCAUGCGCGUAAUACUUUGGUUUUUGAUGGCUUGUAGAUUUUUGCAAUAAGUAUAUGAGUUCUUUAUGACUAAUGUUGAGUCCAUGGAUUAUACGCACUCUCACCCUUCCAUCACUGCUAGCCUUUACGGUACAGUGCAUUGCCCUUUCUCACAUCGAGAGUUGGUGCAAACUUCGCCAGUGCAUCCAAACCCCGUGAUAUGAUACGAUCUUUCACACAUAACCCUCCUUAUAUCUUCCUCAAAACAGCCACCAUACCUACCUAUUAUGGCAUAGCCAUUCCGAGAUAUAUUGCCAUGCAACUUUCCACCAUCCAGUUUAUCAUGACACAUCCAUCAUUGUCAUAUUUCUUAGCAUGAUCAUGUAGUUGACAUAGUAUUUGUGGCAAAGCCACCGUUCAUAAUUUUUUCAUACUUGUCACUCUUGAUUCAUUGCAUAUCCCGGUACACCGCCGGAGGCAUCCAUAUAGAGUCAUACUUUGUUCUAGUAUCGAGUUGUAAAUAAAUAAAAGUGUGAUGAUCAUCAUUUAAUAGAGCAUUGUCCCCAAAAAAAGGCCAAAGAAAAAAACAAGGCCCAAAAAAGAGAAAAUAAAUAAAAAGGGGCAAUGCUACUAUUCCGUUUUCCACACUUGUGCUUCAAAGUAGCACCAUGUUCUUCAUAUAGAGAGUCUCUUGAGUUAUCACUUUCAUAUACUAGUGGGAAUUUUCAUUAUAGAACUUGGCUUGUAUAUUCCAACAAUGGGCCUCCUCAAGUGCCCUAGGUCUUCAUGAGCAAGCAAGUUGGAUGCACACCCACUUAGUUUCUUUUGUUGAGCUUCCAUACAUUUAUAGCUCUAGUGCAUCCGUUGCAUGGCAAUCCAACUCCUUGCACUAACAUCAAUCGAUGGGCAUCUCCAUAGCCCAUUGAUUAGUCUCGUUGAUGUGAGACUUUCUCCUUUUUUGUCUUCUCCACAUAAUCCCCAUCAUUAUAUUCUAUUCCACCCAUAGUGCUAUAUCCAUGGCUCACGCUCAUGUAUUGCGUGAAAGUUUAUGAGUUUGAAAUUAUUAAGGUAUGAAACAAUUUCUUGGCUUGUCAUCGGGGUUGUGCAUGAUGAGAGCAUUCUUGUGUGACGAAAAUGGAGCAUGACUAAACUAUAUGAUUUUGUAGGGAUGAACUUUCUUUGGCCAUGUUACUUUAAGAAAACAUAAUUGCUUUGUUGGUUUGCUUGAAGUAUUAUUAUUCUUUAUAUCAAUAUGAACUUUUGUCUUAAAUCUUCCUAAUCUGAAUACUCAUACCACAAUUAAGAAGAUUUGCAUUGAAAUUAUGCCAAGUAGCACUCCGCAUCAAAAAUUAUCUUUUUAUCAUUUACCUACUCGAGGACGAGCAGGAAUUAAGCUUGGGGAUGCCUGAUACGUCUCCAACGUAUCUAUAAUUUUUGAUUGCUCCAUGCUAUAUUAUCUACUGUUUUGGACUAUAUUGGGCUUUAUUUUCCACUUUUAUAUUAUUUUUGGGACUAACCUAUUAACCAGAGGCCCAGCCCAGAAUUGAUGUUUUUUUGCCUAUUUCAGUAUUUCGGAGAAACAGAAUAUCAAACGAAGUCCAAACUGAAUAAAACCUUCGGGAACGUGAUUUUCUCACCGAACGUGAUCCAGGAGACUUGUACCCUACUUAAGGAGUCAAAGAGGCAGUCACGAGGGUGGGGGGCACGCCCACCCCCCUAGGGUGCGCCCCUGCCUCGUGGGCCCCUCGGUGCUCCACCGACGUACUCCUUCCUCCUAUAUAUACCUACGUACCCCCAAACGAUCAGAACAGGAGCCAAAAACCUAAUUCCACCGCCGCAACUUUCUGUAUCCACGAGAUCCCAUCUUGGGGCCUGUUCCGGAGCUCCGCCGGAGAGGGCCGUUGUCGGUGUCAAAACCGGCGGAUCUCGGGUAGGGGGUCCCGAACUGUGCGUCUAGGCCGGAUGGUAACAGGAGGCAAGGGACAUGAAGUUUUACCCAGGUUUGGGCCCUCUCGAUGGAGGUAAAACCCUACGUCCUGCUUGAUUUAUAUUGAUGGUAUGGGUAGUACAAGAGUAGAUCUACCAUGAGAUCGAAGAGGCUAAACCCUAGGAGCUAGCCUAUGGUAUGAUUGUUGACGUGUACGUUGUCCUACGGACUAAAACCCUUCGGUUUAUAUAGACACCGGAUAGGGUUAGGGUUACAUAGAGUCGGUUACAAUAGUAGGAGAUCUACAUAUCCGUAUCGCCAAGCUUGCCUUCCACGCCAAGGAAAGUCCCUCCCGGACACGGGACGAAGUCUUCAAUCUUGUAUCUUCAUAGUCCAGGAGUCCGGCUGAAGGUAUAGUCCGGCUAUCCGAACACCCCCUAAUCCAGGACUCCCUCGGUAGCCCCUGAACCAGGCUUCAAUGACGACGAGUCCGACGCGCAGAUUUUCUUCGGCAUUGCAAGGCGGGUUCCUCCUCCAAGUACUUCAUAGAAGAUUUUGAACACAAAGAUAGUAUCCGGCUCUGCAAAAUAAGUUUCCACAUAUUGCCAUAGAGAGAAUAAUAUUUACACCAAUCUAAUCUGCUGACAUAUUCCGUAGCGUGACACACCACGGCCAAGCCUUUAUCCGAGUCAUUUCAUUAUCCCACCUCAGCGCGUUAUGCGAGGCGGUUUCCUUGGCACGUCUUGUUAAAGCAGUGAUCGUGUCCCCUUAUCCUGGGAUUCUCAUCAAUACGGGCGUGGGUAACCCAACCGCGCCAUUGAUUACGGCGCUUGGAGAUAAGCGAGUUUUACCAGGCUGGUGGGGACAUGUAGUUGGGUCCACCCAUAUAAGGGGAUAAGGAUCCACCUUUUCACCUACGCCUUCUUCCUCCUUCGCCUAUCCAUUUUUGUGCACUCGAGCUCCAGCGCCCAAAUCUGCACUCCCCACCUCAACCUUCUCCAGCCAUGUCUGGAGCGGGAGGCAAGUGGAUGGUCUCCUCCGUCACGGAGGGACAUAUCAAAAAGCUGAGGAAGGCCGGAUACCUGUCUAACGAUAUCGCGUACCGGCUCCCCGAAAAGGGGCAGCUCAUCCCCACCCCUAGGCCCCAUGAGAGGGUGGUGUUCCUCCCCCAUUUCCUCCGCGGACUGGGCUUCCCUCUCCACCCAUUUGUCCGGGGGCUCAUGUUCUACUACGGCCUGGAUUUCCACGAUCUAGCCCCAAACUUUGUCCUCAACAUCUCAGCGUUUAUCGUCGUGUGCGAGGCCUUCCUCCGCAACCGCCCCCAUUUCGGCCUAUGGCUCAAGACUUUCAAUGUCAAGCCGAAGGUGGUGCGCGGCAACCAGGCAGAGUGCGGAGGUGCCAUGGUGGGCAAGAUGGCCAAUGUCCUAUGGCUCGAGGGCUCCUUUGUGGAGACCCUGAAGGGGUGGCAAUCGGGGUGGUUUUACAUCACCGAGCCACGUGACACCGAAUGGGUCGCACCCCCCGAGUUUUGAUCCGGACCCCCCACGUGGCUCACCUCCUGGAAGGAGAGGGGCCUGUCUUGGGGUAAAAAAGGAGAGCUGACCGGACUCCAAACAUGCAUCCAAACCCUGGCGGACAAGAAGCUCAAACUUGUCACAUAGUCCAGGUUAUGCUCAUCCGCCUGAUCCUCCCGUGUUAACAACGGGCUUUCAACCUGUGGGAGUUCGACCCGGCGCGGCACGGCACCAAACUCUGAGCAGGCUCUUUGACACGACAUACGAAGAUGCCUGGAAGGUGCUUUUCAAAGGCGCCGAGGCUCCCGCGUCCACUACCGAGGAUCGCGGAUUCAGUGCCCAGCAUCACGCUCUCGCGGUAAGAUGUUUUUUUCCUUUUAUAGGGUAUCAGUUUUUCAUAGUUUGACUCCAUGCGGGAUCUAAGCUCCCUUACCUCUGACAGGAUUGGCAGGUGACGUCCGGACAGAUCAACUGUCCGUCUGCUUUGCCCGAAGGCCCAGCGGACGCCCGCUUGGCGAAGCUGCUGGUUCCGGCACCCUAUGUGGUGCCGGAGAAGAAGGCUGUGAAAAAGGCCGUGGGGACUCGAAAGAGUGCCCGGCGCCAGGAGGUGUCGGAUCCAUCAUCCGAUGGUUCCGAGGCGCAUUCCUCCCAUGAAGACGAGGAGGAAGAAGAGGAGAACUCUCCCCCUCCAGCGGGAGGAGAGAAGAAAAGGAAGGUCGCCCUCUCUGGGGAGGCCGGAGGGUCCAAGAAGGGGAAAACCCUUCCUCCGGACUACUCCACCGACGCCGACGGCGGAGAGGAGUGGCAGCCCAGGGCCAAGCCCCUGGCAAAAUCGUAAGUAUCCGGAUACAAGAGUAAUUCAUAGUAUUCGUUUAUUGCACAGCUUUCCCUUACAUCGAAUAUGUUUAUGCAGCCCACCCAAAGACCGGCUCGACGCGUCAUCGAGCAGCUCAUUGGACUCGUNNNNNNNNNNNNNNNNNNNNNNNNNNNNNNNNNNNNNNNNNNNNNNNNNNNNNNNNNNNNNNNNNNNNNNNNNNNNNNNNNNNNNNNNNNNNNNNNNNNNNNNNNNNNNNNNNNNNNNNNNNNNNNNNNNNNNNNNNNNNNNNNNNNNNNNNNNNNNNNNNNNNNNNNNNNNNNNNNNNNNNNNNNNNNNNNNNNNNNNNNCACCGAAGUGUUGUCCCAACAGGUUCCAAGCCGGGAGGAGGUGGUCCUGGAGGCGUCGCAAGGCGACCUCCCGGACUCCAGGAGUAAAGGGGAUGAAACCCCCCAGGGCUCCAAGUCCGGCUCUAGGCCGGACACCGCUCCAGAACCUUCAAAGGUUCCAGAGUCCGGUGGUGGACCUCCUUCCAAGAGGAGCAAGUCCACUGUGCCGGCGGCCCCCGUCCAACCGGAGGCGCCGGACAAUAUGUUGGAGGCGCUCCAAGGCACCUCCAUCGACGAGGAGCACCGCACUAUUAUGAGUGCGGUGGUCCAGAAGGUUCAGUCCGCCAAGAGCGGACUGACUGAAGCUUGUACUAGCCUUUUGACAGGCUUUGAGGUAAGUAAAGAAUGUGUAAAUAAUACUAUCGCAUAGACAGUAGCCCCUGAUGCUCUCUUUGGCGUUCGGGAAGAAAAGCCGAAUAGAGGAUCAAAUAGAAUUCGCAGGAGUCUAACAAAAGUGAGUCAAUAUGCAUAUGCAGGCUUCCCUGCUUGCGUCUGCCGCACUGACUGCGGAAGUGGACACGCUAAAGCAGAACCUCGAGCGGUCCGAGCAAGAGCUCGGGCGUGCCAAGAAGCAGCUCGAGGAUAAUGAAGGUAAGAAAUACCUUGCUUUUAAAUAUAUAUAAAAAGGUACAAUUGCAAAGAAUGACAGGAUUAUCAUGGCUAUUUUAGGGGCCACAUCUGAAGUGGCGACCCUUAAGCAAGCGCUGGUCGAGGCCGAGAAGAGGGCGGCCUCAGAGCACACCGAGUGGGAGAAGUAUGAGGCCGAGGUUGGCAAGGUGAGGCAAGAGCUCCAGGCUCUCAUGGAAAAACAUGAGAGUUUGGAGCUUGACUCAAAGAUGCGAGCGUCCGAGCUCGCGGUGGCUAUUGAAAAUGCCAAGUCUGCCAAGGCCGAAUCCCAGAAGACCCUCCAGGAGUUGGAUGAGGUGAAGAAGAUAGCGGCGGGUAAGGCAUUCUUUAUGCAAAGCAAACACAUAAACGUGAGUUACUUGUUACUUACCCGAAUCCAGAGCUCUCCAGGAACGUUUGCAGAUCUUCCCCGGAGUGUGUCCGAUGCCGCCGCAUUCUAUCGAGCCGAGGAGGGCAGCUCGACAGAGAAGGUGUUCUGGUCUCAGUAUGCUGAGGACGGACACCCCGUGCCCCUGAGCGACCAGCUGAAGCAACUAGUCGAGCUCCACAAGGCGGCUGAACAGGCCAUGAAGGGCCUCAUUGUUCGGUUGUGGCCUGGAGGGGCUCUUCCUGGGAGCUAUUUCGGGCUGGUGCGGCGGUUGGUGGAGGCCUGUCCAAGGCUCGAAGUCAUCAAGCGCUCCGUCUGCAUUGAAGGUGCCCGUAGGGCCCUUGCCCAUGCUAAGGUGCACUGGGGCAAGCUGGAUGCUGAGAAGCUGGUGAAGGACGGGCCACCGCCGGGGAAAGAGCAUCGCAAGCCCGAGAAUUACUAUAAGGAUGUUCUAAAGGGUGCCUGCCUUGUGGCGGAUGAAUGUUCUAGGGAUGUAAUUUUUGAGUGAGACUUGCUCGUUUUGUCCUAUGCGCUGAAAACUUGUUUAUAUGCGCUAAGCAAUGCUGUUGGAAUUUAAAAUAUUACCUUAUGUGCGGCUGUUUAUCAAUUCUGAGAGAUGGCGAGUCGUCGGCUUCUGCCCCCGUGCCGCUAGUGCUGGGGUGUUCGGGGAUAAACCUGAGCGCUCUUUUUCCCAUGUUUGGGUCCUUCGAGGGAGGCGCUCAGCCCAACCAACAAGGCAAUCAGACUAUAAUGUGUGAACACUCUCACUUAGCGAUAGAAUUCUAUAAUUUUAAAUUUCGGCGAAGCCCCUGGUAUUUGCAAGACCAAGUUCCGGGCGCUAUCCACGCCCUGGCCGGACAGAGCCGGCUCCUCACCCUAAGCGGCAUAUGUCUUUAGGGACUCUAAAAACCUCUCGAACAGCGACCAACUCUCGCUUCAUCAUGACAGUCAGUUUUAGCUUUCUCCACUAAAGUGCUCGACCCAGCUCAACUGGGGCACAAUGGUAGUGGUUCUCCUAGUGCUACCUUAGCCGAUAUAGCGGAACGUAAGGCACCAAAACAUAGGAGCCGGGCAAACCCAACUAUUGACCCAAGACAUGAUUCGGAGCCGAUGCAUAUAAUGCUAUAAGUUCGGGGUGCCGCACUUGUUAAAGUGUUCUGACUUCUCACACCAUAUUGAGGGGUACUAAAGCCCCUGGCGUAUUUUGGCCGUACCAACGUGUACGGGUGCAACAUGUCGUUAAGGAACAUAUAUAAAGAAAAAAGGUAAUGCAAAAAUAGACGAAAGCUAUGCAUUGUUUAUUAAAAAGGGCUGCGAUCAAAGCAGAACGAUACAAAUAAUGCGAUAAGUGGAAGGUUGGACUAGUUAACAUGUCCGUUCCAGGGGCAAGCUGCGGAAUAGUAUGCGGAACAGGUAUACCGCUCGUGAUAGAGACCACCUGGGAGUUCUGUACUGCGGCGUGGCUUGUCUGCUUCCCUGGUUCUUGCAUCGUUUGUGCGGCAAUUGAACUGGCGAACAGGCCUUCCGAAGGAUGGAGUCCUGAAAGUAAGAUAAAAUUAAAAAAAUCGGCAGCCCCUGGUAUGGUUUAAGCCGUAUUUUUGGCCGUGACGUCAUGGUGCCCCUCCCCCUGUACCCAUGGUAUCUCUAGAGCGUAGUUAUGUACGCGAAGUACUGGCGUCGCCUUUUUGCGAGGGUUGGGGUUGGGGCCGCAUUGCUACGCCUGCUCGGAUCGUGCCAGGAGGUCUUGUUGUAGGUUACUCUGGGCGCGCUUCACGGUGUCCGGUCGUUUAGUGGCUGGACAGGAGAACUGCCUGCAGAGGCUGCUCUGUACUUGCGCUGCAAGGGCCGCCGUGUGCUCCUCCGUUCGGAGGGAGCGUUCGGUGUUUCCAUUGACCAUAAUUACUCCUCGAGGGCCUGGCAUCUUGAGCUUAAGGUAUGCAUAGUGCGGUACCGCAUUGAACUUAGUGAAUGCGGUUCGCCCGAGCAGUGCGUGAUAACCACCGCGAAACGGGACUAUGUCGAAGAUUAACUCCUCGCUUCAGAAAUUAUCCGGAGAUCCGAAGACCACUUCAAGUGUGACUGAGCCUGUACAGUUGGCCUCUACACCUGGUAUUAUGCCUUUAAAGGUCGUUUUGGUGGGCUUAAUCCUCGAGGGAUCUAUGCCCAUUUUCCGCACUGUAUCCUGGUAAAGCAGGUUCAGGAUGCUGCCGCCGUCCAUAAGGACUCUGGUGAGAUGAAAUCCGUCAAUAAUUGGGUCUAGGACCAAUGCGGCGAAUCCGCCAUGACGGAUGCUAGUGGGAUGGUCCCUUCGAUCAAAGGUGAUCGGGCAGGAGGACCAUGGGUUGAACUUUGGCGCGACUGGCUCUACCGCGUAUACGUCCCUUAACGCGCACUUCCGCUCCCUUUUCGGGACGUGGGUUGCGUAUAUCAUGUUCAGCGUCCGCACUUGUGGGGGAAAACCCUUCUGUCCACUGUUGUUCGGUGGCCGGGGCUCCUCGUCGUCAUCGCUAUGCAGCCCCUUGUCUUCAUUUUCGGCGUUCAACUUGCCUUCCUGCUUGAACACCCAACAAUCCCUGUUGGUGUGAUUGGCCGGCUUUUCGGGGGUGCCAUGUAUCUCGCACAAGUGGUCGAGUAUUCAGUCCAAACUGGACGGGCCCCUAGGAUUCCUUUUGAAUGGCUUUUUCCGCUGACCGGAUUUAGAGCCUCUGAAUCCGGCAUUGACUGUUGUAUCCUCCGCAUUGUCGCCGUUAAUGCGGCGCUUCUGCUUGUUGCGACGCGACCUGCCACUACUGUCCCUGGUGUCCGAAUUACCAGGGUUCUUGGUCAUAUUGUUGUUACGAGCAAGCCAGCUGUCUUCCCCCGCGCAAAAGCGGGUCAUGCGUGUCGUGAGUGCUGCCAUAGAUUUCGGCUUUUCCUGUCCAAGGUGCCGGGCCAGCCACUCGUCACGGAUAUUGUGCCUGAAGGCUGCUAGGGCCUCAGUGUCCGGACAGUACUAUGUGAUUUUUCUUUGUUAGGAACCGUGUCCAGAAUUUCCUGGUCGAUUCCUCUGGCUGCUGAAUUACGUAACUUAGGUCGUCGGCGUCUGGGGGUCGCACAUAAGUGCCCUGGAAAUUGUCGAGGAAUGCGGCUUCUAGGUCCUCCCAACAACGGAUUGACCCUGUUGGCAAGCUGUUAAGCCACUGCUGAGCUGGUCCUUUAAGCUUGAGUGGGAGGUAUUUGAUGGCGUGGAAAUCAUCGCCACGGGCCAUGUGGAUAUGAAGGAGAUAAUCCUCGAUCCAUACCGCACGAUCUGUUGUGCCAUCAUAUGAUUCGAUGUUUACGGGUUUGAAACCCUCGGGGAUUUGAUGAUCCAUUAUUUCGUCUAUAAAGCAUAGUGGGUGUGCGGCGCCUCUAUACUGGGCGAUAUCAUGACGUAGCUCCAAUGAGCUGUGUUCGGCCCUGCCGAAUUUGUGGCCGGCGUGACGGUUAGUGUCGGUGUCAAAACCGGCGAAUCUCGGGUAGGGGGUCCCGAACUGUGCGUCUAGGCCGGAUGGUAACAGGAGGCAAGGGACAUGAAGUUUUACCCAGGUUCGGGCCCUCUCGAUGGAGGUAAAACCCUACGUCCUGCUUGAGUAAUAUUGAUGAUAUGGGUAGUACAAGAGUAGAUCUACCAUGAGAUCGGAGAGGCUAAACCCUAGAAGCUAGCCUAUGGUAUGAUUGUUGUUCUGUAUGGUGUAUCGACUAGCAUAGCCCUGGUUUAUAUAAUGCACCAGAGGCCUAGUGUUAACAAGAGUCCUAGCCGAAUAUGCCAGUGGGGAGAAGUCCUUGUCUUGAUCGCCAAGUCUUUGUGGAAUCUUCCUUGUAUGCGGCAGCUGUCUGAACUGGCCCAUGAGUAUACGGCCAUGGGGGGCCUCGGCCCAAUCUAAUAUAUCGGGAGACGACGUGGUGAGUACCCCCUAGUCCAGGACACCGUCAGUAGCCCCCUGAACCAGUCUUCAAGUUAGGGACGCUCCAUGAUUCUUUCGAGAUGUUCUUCAUCUUCGGUCGUCGGUCUUGAAAACUGGUUCAACAAAUCUUCUUUAUCUUUGAUCUUGAGGAUCGCCGAAAUGCAUUCGCCGAGUUUACACGUCGGGUAUCCGAGGAGCCCCUUUAAGUUUCCGGCCUUUACCAAUGCCUUGUUAUGUUUAUGCCACACCUCGGGUUUGAAUUUGUUCCCGGCUGGCAGCGUCCUCUUGCGUCCGAGCUCCAACGCCGGAUUGUAUUCGAGGUAUCUUUUGCAACCGAGCACCAAUGCCGGACCGCUUCCCAGCUCUAACGCCGGAAUGUAUCCGAGCUCCAACGCCGAAUGUAUCCGAGCUCCAACGCCGGACUGUAUAUCCGAGCUCCAACGUCGGACUGUAUCCGAGGUGUCGUAAAUCACCUUGGUUCAAAGAAGUUUGAAGGAGUUUAGCCGAGCUUAAUGCCGGAAAUGCCCUCUAUGGAGCCAGCCACUAGCGCCCGAGCUUUAUGCCGGGCUGCUUCCGAGGUGGUGCACCACCCCGAAUGUGGGCCGAUUUUUGUGAAUAUUUUUUAUUGGUGCAAUUUAUUCUCUGCCGAGAUAUAUAGCCAGUAGCCCUCAAGGUGUGUAUCGGUCUAAAACCCGAGAUGCACCUGAAGGAUGACAUAAGACUGCUGAUCCCAAUAGCCGCUGAGACUCAGGUUGAUUUGCAAAAUGGGCCUGAGGAUCAAGUCCAAGCUCGGCUGAAUACUUCGGGACACUAAAAGCGGUGUGCUCAGUCCUCGAGACUCAGGUUGGGUGCGGCCGACCAACCUGAGGAUCAAAAUCUCCUCGGAAACUAUAUUGCACAUAAAAUUUUCUGCAUUGGACAAGCAAUGCAGUAGCCCCCGAGACACUGGUCGGGUGGUAACACCAGAUCAGGGGAUCAAUGUGCCCCUUUAGUAUUUGUAAAUAAUAAGCCCGAAGCCCAGUAGCCCCCGAGCAUUAAUGCGGGCACGGGUGGCCGAAUUAAGUUUCAAUAUCCAUAGUAAAAUCACAAAUUAUGUGUAAUGACUCUAUGUAUCCAAGUACUUUACGUCAUUAAUGCUCAGAUCCGCAUUGUACAAAACUUUGUUGACCGACCAUCGGCUUCCACCUCCUCGGCCAGUAGCCGAGGAGUGUUUGUCCUACUUUAUAAAGCCUUUAUGAGGGCAAAGAUUUACAACAAACAAGGCAAUCUGGCUAGACGGUUUUAUAAACAAAGGUACGCAGAGAGAUAUAUUACUGUUUAACAGAAGAAAUGUCUUCCAAAGAAAAUAGUCUCGCUAUCGGUUCCUUUCUUUGGGUUGUCAUGCUAAGCAUGAUCAUUAAACCACAGCUCUAAUGUAAGAGCAAAAUAUUGAGGAUUUAGUUUGGGAGGCCAGUUAAUAGCCCCCGGUAGAGUUCGGCGACAAUCGGGGUCAAGCCGUAAACACUUCGGCCAAAGUUAUGAACGGCCCAUCAUUUAACAUAGUCAUCGGAUCGCUGACCAGUUUACGCUUAUUGUGAAAGUCAGUUUUUGGCUUUCUCCACUGAGGUGCUUAACCAUGUGAGCUGGAAGCACAAUCGCAGUGGUUCUCCCUUUGCACGCCUAGCCGAACAAAACGGAACGUAGGAAGCAACUGCAGGAGCCGGGCAACCCAACUAUUGACCGAAGACACAAUUCGAAACCGAUGCAUAUAUAGAAAUAUCUGAGAAUGUUUUUGCCGAAUCCCUAAAGGUGUUCGGCGUUGCACUGCGAGACUAAUGCUGGAAAAGCACAAAUAGUUUAAAAGUGCCAAAAAGCUUGGAAAACCAAGAAACGUCAGUAAAAACAUGACGUCCGAACAAUAUCAAGUGUUCGGUGCCAAUCCGAAAGUUGGUCUUAGAAAAAAGAAGUGUUUCUAUCGUGCUUUAACAUGAUAUAUCCUAUCUCAAGACUUCGAGCGGGUCAGCCUACGGCUUCAACCUCCUAUCCCGAGGGCGGAGUACUUCUCAUCAGGCCAGUUUAGCAAACUAAACUCUAGCGGCUUUGAGAGAGAAAUUAGGCUCCCCGGCUAGUGACCGCACACUCGUGUCGAAAAAAGGUGUGAUAAAUAAUAAUAAAAAAACUUUGCAACGACUAAGAAGAAGAACACUUAUUAUAGAACGGCUCAAAUAAACUUAAGAGCCCCCAAGUGACUUGGGUAGAAGAAUGAUUGCAUGUACCGAAGUACUUAUAUCAUAUCUAUGUUCAACCGAACUUUAAACGCGUCUUGACCGACCGUCAGCUUCUCCCUCUUUAGUCAAGGACUGAAAAGUGUUAUGUACUCCAUCGGUCGAGAAUAUCGACGGUGUUUCCAAUAACCAGGCAAUCAGGCCAUAAGGCUGUAACAAACAAAGCGCGCUCAGGGAACUUAUGCUAUAUUACCGUGAAGUGUAAGAAGCAUCUUCGAAGAAAAUAGUACCCCCACCGAUACCUUUCUUCGGUGCUCAUUGUUAUUAUGAGACUUGUGCAAUAGAUUUUUUGUACUCAUGAGUUCCGAUGUGUGCCGACCAUCAUUGAAAACUAUAAGAGCGCUAGCUUUCGGCUUCACCCAGUCUGAGGUCCGGCUCGGGUGACCCGAUCGUGACAAUCGCAGAGGUGAUCCCUUUACUCCCUAGCCGAACAAUCGGGAGCGUAGGGGUAAACGCAGGAGCGAGGCAACCCAGCUUGCAAAUCGCUUAAGUCAAUAUGGUGCAUAUUGUGGCGUAAUACACGAACAAGGAACGAAGCCGUACAAGUAUAAUCAUUUGCAAGUGGAAAAGCUUCAUAAAGGAAGCCCCCAAAUGAAUUGGGUAUUUGAAUUUAUGCGUCACAAACAAAGUUUGGACAAGGAAAUUUUUUACACGCAACUUUUUUCCAAGAAAGUAUAAUGCUUGGUCGAACCGAACACAAGUUAGAAAUUAAAGCUUUGAGCAUGAAAGCGACUUAGCUGGUUAAUGUGUUCGGUAUUGAUGAUGCGGUUUGAGCUUGAUGUGGGGCAAGGUUCCAUCCCCCAAGCUGGUCCCGAGGUGGUGGAGCGAAGAGCUCGUGUCGGGGGUUUGGUGCGACAUAUGCCAACGGAUGGCUUAUCAUGGUGGCGGCGAGUAGAACAUCGCCGGUGCCUGGAAACGGGAUGAGGCGAAGACAUGCACGCCGGUGAAUCUUACCCAGCUUCGGGGCUCUCCGGGGAGAUAAUACCCCUACUGCUGCUCUGCGUGGUGUCCGCAUGAUCACUAUGGUCAAGAGUUUACACGGUUGCUCCUUGAGCUGUGUCUGGUGGUAGGAGAGGGCAAGGCUAGCUCUCUCCUCCUAUCUGGUAUGGUAUAGAACUACUGGCAUCCAACCCUUUGCAUGGGUGCCCUGGGGGCUUAUAUAGGCCUACCCCCCAGGGGUACAAUGGUAAUUCGACUGGGCGCGGGCCCAGCCGUCAGUGCCUCCGACCUCCGACUUCUCCGCUGACUGCUGGGGCCCGCCGACUGGUGGGCCCCGCCGACUGGUCUGGUACGGAGCCGAUAGGCCGCGUCCGCCGCGGGCGUGUCUUGCCGGCUGCUGAUUACUGUAGUCGUGCUCCUGAUGACGCAAGCUUGGUCAUGGGGUCGUGGCAAUAGCCCCGCCGCCUGGCGGGCCAUCAAUCUGGCCACUCUCCAUCUCUUCUUGAUUAAUGGUGCGUGGGCCCUGGGGAAGGGCUCGGCCGACUCCCCCGGGCCGACUCCCGACGGGUCCGACUGGCGAUUCUCCUGCCGUCUCCCGAGGUCUUGCUGACUGGUGGGCCCCGCUGCCUCCAGGCCGUACAGACAAGCCGUCGUGGGCGCAGGACCCGGUACAGUGGUGCUGAUGUCAGGGCCGGCCGGGUAACAGUGCCAUGCCACAGGGAGGUCUUCCCUAGUACGGCGUGCUGUAGCCAUGCCUACCCUUGGUAAGGGGCGGGGAGUGGGCUUCAUUGUAGCCACGCCCCUGCCCCGUCCCCUUCGAUGAGGUCACGGUUUGUUGGAGUCGCCGGCCGACUCCCCAAAGCCGGCUUCUCUGGAAGUCGCCCCUGGGACUCGGCCGUGAGUGGGCAGUCGGCCAUCUUGCCGUAGACUCCCCAGGAGGCGGCUCUUCGCCCUGUGGUCUUGAGGGGCGCAGCCUACCCCGAUGUCUUGAAAGGUUUGGGGCUCGGGUUGGCCUACCCGUGGCCCAUUACUCCGACAGUAGUCCCCGAAGCUGGUGAGGCACCACGGACGAUCGGCCGAGAAGCCUCAGCAGUUUCUCUUUCCGGGUGCUCAACACAUGGUCUUGAUUGACUUCUGUCGGGCUGACUAGAAGGAGUCGAACUCGCCCAACUCGGACUCCAUCAAUUCCGACUUGCUCAGUAGUUCGAACGUCGCGGCGGGAUUUCAAGUGCCGUGCUAGCUAAGCUUCCAGGCUGCCGCCCGUUCUUGGCCUGUCACGCGAGGGCAUGUGCCAGGCCGUCCUGCCAGCCCACGCGCGCGACGGGACAGGCCCGUAGGCAGGGCCCGCCACUACCACGCCUCGGCGCCCGAGCAGAUCCGCUGCGGCCCCGGUGGACGGUUGGGAUUCCCGUGAAGUUACUACACGCAGUAACUUUACACGGAUCGUGGGGUUGCGGGCACAGUAAAUCCCCACGUCCGCCCCCUCGGCUUCGCAGCCCACGGGGCUAUAAGUAGGGGGAAGAGGGGGGCACGCGUGCCCCUCCUUCCCACUACCCCUUUCUUUCUUCCUCCUCGCAGCUCCUCGCUCUCCUGCUUCCUCUUCUCUUCUUCGCUGCGCCGCACGCCCAGGCUCCGGUGAACGCUGCGGUGACAGCUCGUGAUGAGUUCUUCCUCCACUGCCGCGCCUCCCCCAGUGCGCUCCGGCACCUGGGACGGCUCCGAAGUCCACGAAGACCAUAUCGAGUUCCUCCGCUGGACACGUCGGCUUCCCGGCGAAGAUCGUGUGCAGGUGCGUCUUGCACCGGCGGGGGAGAUUUCCCCCGCCCCGCAGGAGGGCGAGCGGGUCAUCUUUCGCUCGCACUGCCUGCACGGGCUGGGGCUGCCAGCGAGCAGCUUUUUCGGUCGUUCAUGGAGUUCUACCGCCUCUAGCCGCACCACCUCACCCCCAAGAUAGUGGUGCUGCUGUCCGCCUUCGUGGCUCUGUGCGAAGGCUUCCUCGGAGUCCUCCCCACCCUGGAGCUCUGGGGGGAGUUCUUUUUCUCCAAGCUCGGCACCCAGACCGCGGGUGUGCCGGCUCAGUGCGUCGCCUUCAUCGCCGUGCGAAGGACAGGAGCCGACAACCACUUCCCAUCCAUCUCGCUACUGAAGUCGGUGAAGAUGUGGCAGAGGUCCUACUUCUACGUCAGGAACGUCGCCACGAGGGGCGACCGGGUCAAUCUGCCGGCUUUCGAAGCUGGCCCGCCGGCUGGGAGAUUGCCCAACUGGUCGUACUGGGCCAGGUCGCUGACGCCUGCGGUUGCUUGAGGGCAAUGUUGACGUUGAGCCCCCGAGCUUCAUAGAUGAUUCCUCCGUGAUCUUGAUAGAGAUCGGAGUUGAUGUUUGAUGAAGGCCCUCGUCCGAACAUGGUGAUCCGAACACGGGGUGAAAUUCUUGGUCGAACCAAGGUGACCAGUCGAACUGGUGACGAAGACGCCGAAGUCGCAGUUGAUCUACAGGCGAGCCAUCGAUCCUUUUGUCGAUCAUACAGCGGAACUCUCAAUGAAAGCACCAAUGUCCGUGUCAAAACCGGCGGAUCUCGGUUAGGGGGUCUCGAACUGUGCGUCUAGGCCGGAUGGUAACAGGAGGCAAGAGACACGAAGUUUUACCCAGGUUCAGGCCCUCUCGAUGGAGGUAAAACCCUAUGUCCUGCUUGAUUAAUAUUGAUGAUAUGGGUAGUACAAGAGUAGAUCUACCACGAGAUCGGAGAGGCUAAACCCUAGAAGCUAGCCUAUGGUAUGAUUGUUGUUCUGUAUGUUGUAUCGACUAGCCUAGCCCUGGUUUAUAUAAUGCACCAGAGGCCUAGUGUUAACAAGAGUCCUAGCCGAAUACGCCGGUGGGGAGAAGUCCUUGUCUUGAUCACCAAGUCUUUGUGGAAUCUUCCUUGUAUGCGGUAGCUGUCCGAACUGGCCCAUGAGUAUACGACCAUGGGGGGCCUCGGCCCAAUCUAAUAGAUCGGGAGACGACGUGGUGAGUACCCCCUAGUCCAGGACACCGUCAGUUACCUUCUCGAGCCGUGGGGCGCCCACGCGAUCCGUAGAUCGAGCGUGUUUGCCUUGCCUUGUCCUCCAACAUGUCUCGUAAGUCCGGCGCAUAUUCUCGUGCCUUGAUACGGGGUGCGGCUUGAGUGGAGGGCCGGGAGGCCUCUCUGUCGCGGCCAUGAGGUGGCCGGUCGGCCGCAUCAAGUGCUUCCUCCUCUAACCGGGGUAGCAACCUGUGCUUUGGGUAGCUCUUGGAGGGGCGUUCGAGUUUAUGCUCUUCGGCCGCAAGGACUUCAGUCAAUCUGUCGACCAGCAAAUCUUGAUCAGCUCUAAGUUGUUGCUUUUUUUUCUUGAGGCUUCUUGUCGUGGCCAUAAGCCUGCGUUGAAAAUACUCUUGCUCGACGGGAUCCUCUGGCAUGAUGAAUUCAUCGUCGUCGAGGCUUGCCUCGUCUUCGGAGGGAGGCAUAUAAUUAUCGUCCUCGACCUCUCUGUCUGCCGCUCUCUCAUGAGGGUUGGUUUCUCCAUCCUCCUGUGCUAAGUCUUGCUGGAGGGGGUUUUCUUCGGCACUUUCCGGAGUAUUAUUAUCUCCCAUGCUGGAAUCGCCGUAUUUGUUUUGGCGGGAUUUUGAGCGGCUCCGCUGACGCCGGCGCUUACUCUGUUUCUUGGAGGGAUCCUCCUCCGCUGUUCCAUCGCCAUCUCCCUCUUUUGGGGUGUCCACCAUGUAUAUGUCAUAUGACGAGGUGGCUUUCCAGGGCCUAGUAGGCGCUGGUUCUUCAUCAUCUCCUUCAUCGGCAUCCAUACCGUCGAUGUCUUCGGUGUCGAAGUCGAGGAUGUCGGUUAAGUCGUCGACAGUGGCUACAAAGUGGGUGGUGGGUGGGCUUUGAAUUUCUUCAUCGUCCGUACCCCAACCUUGCUGACCGUAGUCCGGCCAGGGCUCUCCUGAUAAAGAGAGAGACUUCAGUGACUUCAGGAUAUCGCCGAAAGGCGAGUGCUGAAAGAUGUCCGCGGCAGUGAACUCCAUAAUUGGCGCCCAAUCGGAGUCGAUUGGCAGGGACGUGGAGGGUUCGGAGUCCGGCUCCUUGGAGUCACGAGUCUCGUAGAGUACGGGGCUAGUGUUCGGCUCAAUCACCAUUGGGGUCGCAGCCCCCGGGGUGGCGUCCAACCGCCCAUCCUCGAUCGGCGCAGUUGGCUCCGAAUUAAGGGUUGGAGCCGAUGCGGGUGCGGCCUCCAGGGCACUGUUCGGCGGCAGAGCUAGAUCAUGCUCGUCAUGACAGUGCGGCGCGCUCGGCAGUGGCUCGAAUCCGUCGAAGAUCAAGUCCCCGCGGAUGUCCGCCGUGUAGUUUAAACUUCCAAAUCUGACCUGACGGCCAGGGGCGUAGCUUUCCAUCUGCUCCAGACAGCCAAGAGAAUUGGCCCGCAGUGCGAAGCCGCCGAAGACGAAGAUCUGUCCGGGGAGGAAGGUCUCACCCUGGACUGCAUCGCUAUCGAUGAUCGUAGGAGCCAUCGAGCCUGACGGCGACGACACAGAGGAACUCUCAAUGAAAGCACCAAUGUCGGUGUCAAAACUGGCGAAUCUCGGGUAGGGGGUCCCGAACUGUGCGUCUAGGCCGAAUGGUAACAGGAGGCAAGGGACACGAAGUUUUACCCAGGUUCGGGCCCUCUCGAUGGAGGUAAAACCCUACGUCCUGCUUGAUUUAUAUUGAUGAUAUGGGUAGUACAAGAGUAGAUCUACCACGAGAUCGAAGAGGCUAAACCCUAGGAGCUAGCCUAUGGUCUGAUUGUUGAUGUGUAUGUUGUCCUACGGACUAAAACCCUUCGGUUUAUAUAGACACCGGAUAGGGUUAGGGUUACAUAGAGUCGGUUACAAUGGUAGGAGAUCUACAUAUCCGUAUCGCCAAGCUUGCCUUGCACGCCAAGGAAAGUCCCUCCCGGACACGGGACGAAGUCUUCAAUAUUGUAUCUUCAUAGUCCUGGAGUCCGACUGAAGGUAUAGUCCGGCUAUCCGAACACCCCCUAAUCCAGGACUCCUUCAGCCGUCAUCACGGAGGGCUUCUACAUCAUCAUCGCCCCUCCGAUGAAGUGUGAGUAGUUUACCUCAGACCUUCGGGUCCAUAGUUAGUAGCUAGAUGGCUUUUUCUCUCUUUUUGGAUCUCAAUACAAAGUUCUCCCCCUCUCUUGUGGAGAUCUAUUCGAUGUAAUCUUCUUCUUUUUGCGGUGUGUUUGUUGAGAUCGAUGAAUUGUGGGUUUAUGAUCAAGUCUAUCUAUGAAUAAUAUUUGAAUCUUCUCUGAAUUAUUUUAUGUAUAAUUGGUUAUCUUUGCAAGUCUCUUCGAAUUAUCUGUUUGGUUUGGCCAACUAGAUUGGUAGUUCUUGCCAUGGGAGAAGUGCUUAGCUUUGGGUUCGAUCUUGCGGUGUCCUUUCCCAGUGACAGAAGGGGCAGCAAGGCACGUAUUGCAUCGUUGCCAUCGAGGAUAACAAGAUGGGGUUUAUUUCAUAUUGCAUGAAUUUAUCUCUCUACAUCAUGUCAUCUUGCUUAAAGUGUUACUCUGUUUUUAACUUAAUACUCUAGAUGCAUGAUGGAUAGCGGUCGAUGAGUGGAGUAAUAGUAGUAGAUGCAGAAUCAUUUUGGUCUACUUUUCACGGACGUGAUGCUUAUAUACAUGAUCAUGCCUAGAUAUUCUCAUAACUAUGCUCAAUUCUGUCAAUUGCUCAACAGUAAUUUGUUCACCCAUCGUAGAAUACUUAUGCUCUUGAGAGAAGCCACUAGUGAAACCUAUGGCCCCCGGGUCUAUUCUCUUCAUAUCAAUCUCCAUCACUUUAAUCUUGCUUUGCUUUUUUACUUUGCCUUUUACUUUUCACUUUGCAUCUCUAUACCAAAAAUAUUAUAUCUAUUAGAUCUCACUCACAUAAGUGAUCGUGAAGGGAUUGACAACCCCUAAUCGCGUUGGUUGCGAGUAGCUAUCGUUUUGUGCAGGUACGAGGGACUUGAGCGUGGCCUCCUACUAGAUUGAUACCUUGGUUCUCAAAAACUGAGGGAAAUACUUACGCUACUCUGCUGCAUCAUCCUUUCCUCUUCGGGGAAAUCCAACGCAAGCUCAAGAGGUAGCAAUAAGGAUUUCUGGCGCCGUUGCCGGGGAGUCUACGCAAAAAGUCAAUAUACCAAGUACCCAUCACAAUCCCUAUCUCUCGCAUUACAUUAUUUGCCAUUUGCCUCUUGUUUUCCUCUCCCCCCAAUUCACCCUUGCCGUUUUAUUUGCCCUCUCUCUCUAUCCUCCCUCUCUGUUUCCUUUUUCCCUCGCCAUGUCAGAACCAAAAAGAGUUGGGGGUUUUCUCCCAAGUUCUAGUGCUUUAGACAGUCCUGCUAUCUUAUCUAAACUUAUAAAUCGGAAUGCUAUAGAACAACUUGCCGGAGUUAUCAAUGAGAACCUUAGUAAUUUUGAUGAAGAUGAUUCUGGAAUUUUCCGUUAUUUACUUGAUGAAUCUUUGAAAGAUUCUUGGGAUAGGUUGUUAAGGAUUCGGGCUAGCUAUGUACCCCAAUAUCAAAUUGAGGUUUACUUAAAAAGCUUUUAUGUUGGGCUGCCCGCUUCGUUCAAACAAGUUUUAGAUUCUAUUUGCGAGGGGGGUUUUCUUGAAGGGGACCCCAUAGAUACCUAUGAAAGGAUGAAAACUAUAUUUGGGCACCCCAUUAAUGAGAAAACUGAAAUCACAUCCCUCUUCCGGUGGAGCACCGGAAGAGGCCCCAAGAUGGGAUCUCGUGGAUAUAGAAAGUUGCGGCGGUGGAAUUAGGUUUUUGGCUCCCCUUCUGAUCGUUUGGGGGUACGUGUGUAUAUAUAGGAGGAAGAAGUACGCCGGAGGAGCAACGAGGGGCCCACGAGGCAGGGGACGCGCCCUAGGGGGGGCGCGCGCCCCACCCUUGUGACCGCCUCUUUUGUUCCUUGGAGCAGGGUCCAAGUCUCCUGGAUCACGUUCGGUGAGAAAAUCACGUUCCCGAAGAUUUUAUUCCGUUUGGACUCCGUUUGAUAUUCCGUUUCUUCGAAACACUGAAAUAAGCAAAAAACCGCAAUUCUGGGCUGGGCCUCCGGUUAAUAGGUUAGUCCCAAAAAUAAUAUAAAGUGGAAAAUAAAGCCCAAUAUAGUCCAAAACAGUAGAUAAUAUAGCAUGGAGAAAUCAAAAAUUAUUGAUACAUUGGAGACGUAUCAACCAUGAAUAAAAUGUGAACCACCAUCAGUCAUUAAAUAUCUAGGGACUCCGAAAAAUAACUCACUACAAAAAAAUACACUUCUGUGAUGAUACGUGUUUGUCACAGUAGGUCGCGUUUUCUGUCAUGCAUGUACAUCCAUGACAAAUUUAUGACAGAAUCAAGAUAGACAUACCUGUGCUGUCGUAGAAGUGUUCCAUGACAUUACCAAAAUUAUCAUCACGGAAGUGUCCACUUCCAUGACGAUAAAUCUCGCGUCACAGAAGUGCUUUCGUCAUGGGUGAUCGACACGUGGCAUCCACCGUAACGGAACACCGUUAAGCUAUCGGGUCGGGUUUUGGAUCCGAUAACCCGUUAACAGCCCCGACCAAUGGGGAUUUUCCACGUGUAAAAUCAUCAUUGGCUGGAGGAAACACGUGUCGUCUCAUCAUUGGGACAGAUGUCAACCACUCAUUGGACGGAAGGCGCCUAUGAUACGUCGACACGUGGCACGGACCAACAGAGGUCCAUUCCUGUGAAAAGGCCGGCCCGUUUGACUUGGUCAAAAGCUAGCGGGCCGGCCCAUGGAAAGCCUGUUAACGGCAUGUCCGAAUAUAGCCCAUUUACAGCCCGCUAACCCAAGGCCCGUUACACCCUAUUCGUAUUAGGCCCAGUAGCGUCAUCUGGGCCAUCCAAUAUGAUUCCAGCCCAUUUUCACUUCUGGCCCAUGUAUGGCCCAUGAUGUUUUUCGGCCCAUAUGAGGCCCUAUGUAACUCUUGGCCUACUAACGGCCCAUGGUGAAACUGGCCUGUAAUGAAUAGUGUAUCACUUUACACCCAUUAACGGCCCGUGGUGAAACUGGCCCGUAAUGAACAGUGUAUCACUUUAUACCCAUUAACGGCCUGUUAUUCCGUUGGGCCGUUUCCAGCCCAUGUUAUCUUUCGGCCUUCUCAGAGCCCAUUUAUUCUUGGGCUCAUUUUCAGCAUUCGUUUACUUACGGCCCGUUGUUGUCAUUUUCUGCUUGUGGGCCAAAUUCAGCCCGUGGUUACAGUCGGCUCAUUUGUGGCCCGUUAAUAUGUUGGGCUGACUUCAUAGCGUCAUCAAAUACGGCCUAUUAACGAUGGCCCGUUAUGGUCGGCCCAUGAAUGGACGAUUCCAUCUCUAGCCCGUUUACGGCCAUAAUGCGGUCUGUUUGGCCCAUGUUUGGCCAAUCGAUUAUACGGCCCGUAUAAGGCCCAUUGAUAAUACGGCCCGUAGAAGGCCCAUUGUUUCUACGGCCCGUAGAAGGCCCACUGUUUCUAUGGCCAGUAGGAGGCUCAGUGUCACUACAGUAAAUAUUAGCCCAUGGUUAUUGUGGCCUAGUUUUAAAAAAUAGGUUAUUGCAGCCACUAGCUAACCGCGGAAAAAGAACUGCAAUGACUACAAGCAAACAAAUAAACAAGACAACAAGGAAAUAAAUAAGCAAGCAACUAAUGCUAGGCUUCAUGGCUAUUACACAUAAUACAUCCACUGGGCAUCAAAGUUCGCCACCAGUGCAAAUAUAGGGAACAAAGCAGCAUAUCAUAUACACUGGUUGUCAAAGUUGGUGACCAACGCAAAUAAAUGCCGCAGCAAAACAAAUCCAGAACUGAAACCACUUCAGAAGAUAUCAAGAAACAAUAUCCUGGGUACCCAUAAUGCUGGCAGGAUACUUAGCAAGCUUAUUAAAUUUCUCUUGUUUGGCGCUUAAAUCCUCUAGCGCUUGCUGUUGCACCAGAAAAUAUGCAUCUGAAUUCUGCAGCGACUUCCUCAGUCCUUCAGCUUCCUGUCGCAGCACAUCUGAUCGAUGUCUUUGAACUUGAAGUUGAGACUCAAGAAGACGAACUGAUUCAAGCAGCGAGUUUGAAGAGCUUGUGCCAGCAGUAGUGGCCAGUAACUCGAACACUACAUCAAGACAGGACUUUUGGGUUCCCUCACCGUCUUCAAGAUAGUUUUUAUCAGCUUUCUUGGAGACCAACAGGGAUGUCUCACUAUCUUGAACCUUAUCUGUAUUACUUCCUUUACCAUUGGAUAACGCGCUACUGUUCUCCAAUAUUUUGUCCGCAUUCUAAAAGAGAAACAAGCAGACACAUCAUAUGUUUACCACGCGGCAUCGGAGUGAAGUGUAGCUAAAUCGGAGCAGCAUCGCAAGCAAUAGCAAGAGCGAGAGCAGCAGCGUGGGCAAGAGCAAUAGCAAGACCAGACCAGGCAGGGGACCGAGAGCAAGAGCAGAGCAGCAGCGCGAGCGAGAGCUAAAGCAGCAGCAGGUCCUACUGAUGUGGACGUCGCCGCCGAGGGAGCGACACCGUGGAGGAAGUGGCCGGUGAUGCCGCCGUGGAUGGAGCCGCGCCAUGUCGGCUCGGGACCGAGCGCCGGCAGCACCGUGAGAUCGAAUCAAGAAGAAAAUGCGACGAUUAGUGUACAACCUCUUUGGUGGCGCCGAUUAGGCCGCAACUUCAUCUGAGGAAACGGUGAUGAUGAUGCUCUUCCGGUGGUGCAGGUGAAGACGGUGGUGUGGGAAUGGAGGUGGCGCGAAAGACGAGGGGAACAUCGGGGCAGCUCCUUGGAGGUGGAGGACGGGGUGGCUGAACCGACAGGACGAUGAGAUCAAUGACGGAUCCUCAUCCGGUACGGUGGAUGAGGGACGUCGAGGUGUUGCUGUGGACGACGUCGUCGGGGAAGAGGCUCCGGCUGGGUGGCAGACGGAGCAGGGUGUGGGGUUUUGUCACGGGUUUUCGCGGCCUCGGUGUACGAAUGGGUGGACGGAUGGGAUGGUAGUGGGGAACCAUGGCUUAGAGACGCGCUUGUCCGAAAUGUGGGGUAAGUUACGGAAGUACCCCCACCGAUUUGAGGUGGUUCUUUCGGUUCAGGGGUACCACGGGCAUUUCGUGUGUCGGGAUUUCACAGGAGGUGGGAGUUUUCACACUCGUUGUAAUUUCGGAAUAGCAAGGCGCGGGUUGAUAUGGAAGGAGUUGUCGGAGCACAACGAGACAAAAAUAUAUCUUAAAUAUUUCGGGCUAAUAAGGCGCGGGUUGAAAUUUCCGGACAAGCCUAACGUGUAUUGUACCAAAUCAAUGUGCCCUACAAAUGUCAUUCAAAACUUUGAAUUCAUGUUAUGUUAAAUUAAAAUAUUUCGCUACGUGUAUAAUGCAUGCAACCUACUACUCAAAUGAACGUUUUAGUGCAUUCCAAACCUAUAUACUACCGCUUCAAUAUGAACUAAAUUUGAAUUCGUCUCUCUAUUUGAAUAAGAUCUACAAUAAUGAUUGUUGUGAAGUCAAAGCAUUUGAAUUCGUUUCUCUGUUUUAAUAAGAUCUACAAUCAUCAUUAUUGUCAAGUUAAACCAUCAUUUGUGUAUUAUCUUCACAGCACACCACAUGAUUAGUCUCGAGUUACAUAUGAACUAUGUGUACUAUAUGAACUCGAACUAAAUUUUUUGAAUCCACUUUAUUUUGAUUUGAAAUCACAUUACAUUUCUAGCUCUAGCUAGAUCUUCAUAAUCUAAACCAUGUAUCAUAUGUAUAAUGUGUUUAUCACAUUAUGUAUGGUGCCCCGCCCCCUACGCCUACAAGUAUUUAGAUGUGAGUUGCAAACACCACACAUUACCACAAAUUCAAAUAAAAUGUGAGAAUGUUCGAUAUAUAGUAUUGUUUAGAUUGUUCCAUAUUUAGUUGUAAGCUGCAAACGCCACACAUUAUCACAAAUUCAAAUAAAAUGUGAGAUUGUUUGAUGUAUAGUAUGGUUUAGAUUGUUCGGCAUUUAGCCGUGAGUUGCAAACGCCAUGCAUUAUCACAUUAUGGUAUACCGUGUGCACCACACGUGUAUCACCGCUAUAUUCAUGCAUGCAAUGUUUAAAACACUAUGAUCUCCUAUUCAAAUAUAUGAAUCCACUUCCAUAUCAAAUUAUGAUCUUUGUUAGUCUCUUACACCCACACAAUCCUCUAACCUUUGUAGCUACCACUAACUUUCUCUCGUGCAUGCACAUGCCCUCCUCGCCCCCCUCCCUCGGCAUUCUAUCCACCGGGCACAUUCAUUUUUUUUCUUUAGGUCGUUCUCCCAGAGUCUCCACAACUCCUUUCCGACACACACCACCGAUAGAUAAACUUCUCCAGCGAUGCCUGCCUACAACAUACAAACACACCUUCAAUCUCCUCCUAGGAGGUGGUUUGCGGUUUAUCCUUUUCUAUCUCUCUAUACAAAUUUUCUAACGUGCACUGCUGUACUACAACUAAAUCAAAUUUACUGAAUAUUACGUAUGUAGAAUUCCAAAAUAUCUGUCUAUGAAUUAAUGCACAAACUUCUAAGUGUCAAGAUGUUGAUUCUAUCCAAUUUUGGUAUUAGUUAUCUUAUAUUUAUUGAUCUUUGUAUUGCUGCUCAAUGUUCUAAGCAUGGAUAUAAUGACUCUGUCUCAUUUUGUUAUUAUUGCCAUGUAAAUGUUGUCUUUACCCUUUUAUUUUGUAUAGUAAGUACAUUUGAUUGAGGCUAAUAUCCUGUUACUUGACAUGGCAGUGACUAUCUCUUUAAGCUUCUGCUUAUCGGAGACUCAGGUGUUGGCAAGUCAUGCCUCCUCUUAAGAUUUGCUGUAAGAGUCCCUAUCUAAAGCAUGAUUUGUUCACUAUCUUUUAUAGGUCUUCCUUUUUUUAAUAUGCAUCUUCAUCUUAAAAGUUUGAUAUAAGUUUUCUUCGGGAUAUCAUGGAAACUGUAAAAAAAAAUUAGGCUCAGUAAACUGUAUGAUUUCCCACUACUUAAUACGAAUGAGGAGUUCAUUGUUGGUAGCUACUGUUUCUUAACAACAUGGAGAUGAUCCCUAUAACAAUCUUGUUGUUACUAGUUAAUUUACUCUGACCUCCUUAAUAUCGACUCUUUUGGCAGGAUGACUCAUACCUGGAGAGUUAUAUCAGUACUAUUGGUGUUGAUUUUUGUAAGUAUAUUUAGUUUCUUGGUCUGAGUGUUAAUGUUCUGGCUACCUUAAUUGAACUUGUAGUUUUGUUUUCUUCCAACUUUGUCGAUAGAAAAUACGUACCGUGGAGCAAGAUGGAAAGACUAUGAAGCUGCAAAUCGUGAGUCCAUUCUUUCUUUCAUUAUGUCCAGUAUGCAUGUACCAUCAAAUCCAGAUUGUACAUCGAAUCCAGAUUUGACAAAAUAGAAGACUUUAUCGGGAAACAUUUCAUUUAUAGCCCUCUUCUGUUUUGUGGAGUUUGCUGGAUUUUCCCUUUGCAUAAUAUAGCAUGCCGUUAUUCAUCAGUAUUUAUGUGGUUGUUAGUUGAGGCCAGUUUAUAGGAAACAGAAACUCCACUACUCCCUCCUUCCAUCUAUAUAGGGCCUAAUGUGUUUUUCGAGGCUAACUUUGACCAAAUACUAGAGCAAUAAUAUAUGACAUGCAACUUACACAAAGCACACCGUUAAAUUCGUGUGUGAAAAGAGUUUUCAAUGAUAUAAUUUUCACAUUGUGCAUGUCAUGUACUAUUAAUCUUGUCAAUAGUCAAAGGCGGUCCUAAAAACACAUUAGACCCUAUAUAGAUGGAAGGAGGGAGUAUGGCUGAAUAUGUAGGCAGUUGCACAACCCCCUUUUACCUUUUGGUUUUUUUAGUUCCAUCCAUUUAAAUUACCGUUGAACAUAAAGAAUAAGAGUAGUUUAGCCCAUUAAAUUAAAUGUUAUAAAGUUUCUUAGUUCGCAUAAAGAAUCGCACUUUCAAGAUGUUUUUAGAUACCAAAGUGAUGCCCAUUUUGAACAUCAUAUUUUUUUUCAAAAAUGGGGGCUCCCCGGCCUCUGCAUCAUUUGAACAUCAUAUUUAAGGGCCUGAUAGUAUGUCAUUUAAAUACUUGGGUGGUACGGUAGCUCAUGUUGCACCUACUGUUGGCAUUUGGCGAUUCUUCCUUCCUUUUGUGUGACACAUUACAUUUAGUGAUGCAAGAUAUCCUUUUCCUUUUCUUUAAACCCCUCUUUGGUACCUUUGUUUUUAUCAGUGGGACACUGCUGGGCAAGAACGCUUCAGAACUAUUUACUAGCGGCUACUAUCGAGGGGCUCACGGGAUCAUUGUAAGUUUGUUUAUGUGAAAAUCUUAUUUUUAUUUUUCACAUGCUAUUUAACAUGCAUAAAUGUCCACAUUUUUAUAUAUUUUGAAUACAUAUAUACAAAUGGGGUUGCAGAUUGUCUAUGACAUGACAGACCAGGACAGCUUCAACAAUGUGAAGCAGUGGUUGAACGAGAUUGAUCGCUAUGCUAGUGAGAAUGUUAACAAGCUUCUUGUAGGGAACAAAUCUGAUCUCACUGACAAAAGAGUUGUAUCAUAUGAGACAGUGAAGGUACCUUAUGCUUUACUCAUAUCUGCUAAAGCAUUCUUUCUGCUCUUUGUGUUCACGUUUGGUGUAUGCAGGCAUUUGCUGAUGAGAUUGGCAUCCCAUUCAUGGAGACCAGUGCAAAGAAUACCUUGAACGUUGAGCAGGCUUUCAUGGCUAUGUCUGCUUCAAUCAAGGACAGGUGUGUGUUCCCAGACGGUUUAAUUAGCACAGGCCAUCCUACUAGUCCACUUUUUUUUAACUACCAUCAUUUUACACUUUAUUUACUGCUCAUUGAUGCUCUGUUCCUGUAGUACUCCCUCUGGUCCUUUUUACUCCCCACAUUAGCUUUGUCUGAAGUCAAAGUUUGCUAAGUUUGACCAAAUUUAUAUUAAAAAAUAUUAACAUCUAUAACAUCUAAUAAAUAUAAUAUGAAAAUAUAUUCCGAGAUGGAUCUAAUAAUAAAUGCGUUGUUAUGUGAAUGUUAAUAUUUUUUUUGUAUAAACUUGAUCAAAGUUGGAUGAGAUUGACUUCAGACAAACCUAAUAUGUAGAGUAAAAAGGACCGGAGGGAGUAUCAUAACCAAAAUUGCCCUACACUCUUUAGCAUGUUGCUGUUAAUUGUUCUAUGUUAUUCCUCACGGUGUUGUUCUAUAUACACCUCAUAGAAAGAGCAUAUAAUUAUGAAUAAAAAUCUUGGUUUCCAGGAUGGCGAGCCAGCCGGCUGCAAACAGCGCUCGCCCAGCGACGGUGCAGAUACGCGGGCAACCUGUCGAACAGAAGACGAGCUGCUGCUCUUCUUGAAAUGCAGGCAGCCGUCAUCCGUGUUACCCAAAUGGAGACGCAAACUUGGCCGCGCCAUCCUUGAGUCCAUGCUUCUACAUAGGCCUACUACAUCUUACACCUUCAUUCCAUUCUUUCUAGUGUACUUAUUAGCUCUUGAAUCGUUGGACUUGUAACACCGGACGGAGUUUGGAGACAGUAUCUUCUUCUAGUUGUGUAUCUUGAAUGGUUAUAUGUUACGAUUUGCAGCUGUUGCUUUUCUUCCCUAAAUUUAAGGCGAUUUCUACUUUUACUUGAUCAAAUUGUCCCGUUCCUCGAAAUAUUAUUCGACAGUAUGCUUAUCUUUAUGGUAUAAAAACUUCCUGAUUAUAAC
Molecule: long non-coding RNA, 50025 nt
Filed under: Triticum aestivum (bread wheat)
Lineage: Eukaryota; Viridiplantae; Streptophyta; Magnoliopsida; Poales; Poaceae
Description: long non-coding RNA (TAES_LNC025101)
Source: RNAcentral